GUCAAACAAGUUUUAUUUGAACAGAUUGAAACUGUCAUUUAAGCAGAUACGGAGUAGUCAUAAUUAUUUUAGCACGUGAUUUGGUAGGAGCUCGUAUCAGUUCUGCUGCGUACUUCACAUUUCUCAUUCCCAAAAUCUCAAGUUAUUUUAUUCAGCUCAGAACUGAGCUAUUUUCAAAUACUACUUAAAAUUAUUUGCUUUGUCCAGACUGAUUGUAAUAUACGUGGUUCGUCAGAAUUUCAGUUUGUUUGACCUGAUUGGAAGUGUCAUUAAGCAGAUAGUCAAAAUUCACAUUAGCACGACUUGGUAAGAACUAAGAGCUCAAAUCCUUUUGUGUUCUCAGUUCUCACUCGGUCACUCCAAGAUUCUGAAGUCAAAUUAUUCGGAGCAAGUCUUUGCUCACUUUUUCAUAAGAAAUAUUAGCUUAUUAUUAGUGGCAAACCAUAAGAUAAGCCUGUACAGAUAGGAUCAAUCUCUUUUAUUCACAACUGUAUGGACAAGUUGAAUGCACGCGCCAUACCAGAGGAUGGCGAGUGCCAGAAUCAUAGCCCGAUUGUUUUCGGCAACGUACAGCGCUGAAAACGCUACUAAUAGAAGCGCAUCAGAGACUCUAAUUUAUUGCCUCAACGAUAGGUCACAGCAAUUAAUUUGAUUUUCUCUGUAGUCAUUAGCUUAAGCAACUGUUGACGGUUCUUUCUCCGUCCAUCUCAAUCAUUGAGUUGAUCAGCGCAAGGAUUUUCUUUUUGACUAACAGGAGAACGAAUCCUUUUUAAAGAUCAACUGAAAGAACAGAUCUAGUCGGAAAAGGGGGAAAUUGAGCAGAUCGAUUGACUGUACGGACAAGUUGAAUGCACAGGCCAUACGAGAGGAUGGCCACUGCCAGAAUCUUAGCCCGAUCACUCUCGGCAACGUACAGCGCUGAAAACGCUACUGAAAGAAGCGCAUCAGAGACUCUAAUUUAUUGCCUCGAAACUAGUUCAGAAACACUACAAGCACAGGAAACUAUUGGAUCCAGAUCGAAGAUUCGAGGGAGAGAAAAAAAAAGAGGAGAAAGGUUGCAUUAGACUCACGACAGCUUUGUGCAAUCAACAGAGCGUAUGAUUGUUCAGAGUUUGAUGGUAUGUAUGAGCAAAUCAUCAUCGUCCAACGCAGAACCGAAUCACCAAGAACAAAUCACAGAAGAAAAGGAAAAAACAGAGAGGAAACCGGGCAACGAGAAAUCAAUCGGAAACUGAAGCAAGCGGAGAAGAACGGCGGCGGUGGCGGCCGGGGAGUGAAAGGUUACCUUCGAAUGUCAGGUGCCCGAUUAUAUAGAGCGGCCGCCGGGGGCUGCAAACCCUAGCGACCUUGGAAAUUUACUCGUUUGCCCUUGUCGAUUGGCUCGGAGAGCGAUCGUGAAACCCAAUGGGCCUUCUAUGGUUGUGGAUCCAUUCGCUUCCGACUUCGGCGGCCCACGUAUAGGAUUAAGGCCCGGUACACAGCCGCACCUAGCUCUAAAUCCAACGCCAAGAAUCUCGCACUGGGGUAUUGCUCCCACAAUUAUACAGAGUAUAUUUUCAUGGAAAGCCAACAAAGCUUCUCAACUUGACAUGUGUCCAUAUGCCUAUAUAUCCCUUCAGGUUACAAUCUUUCUCGUCAACUGGCGCGACGAAGCGCGCACAGAUCGAACCGAACAAAAUCAGACCUCAAAUCAAAUGCACAUACGGGGAAAAAAGAAGAAACAAAAAAUGGAGAAGAAGAACAAAGCUCGAGAUUGGAGUGAGAGCAGCUCGAAUGUUAUUCCGGCGCAGCCGCGGCGGCGUCCGCACGUCGUGCAUCAGCACACCAUGCUGCUCUUCUUCUUGGCGACGAGCCUCUUCCAGAAGGUGGUGACCUCCUUCUCGAUCUCGUGCACCGACUUCUUGGCCGGGUGGUCGUGGCCCGCCUUCUUCCCGGCGUGCGCGUCCAUGUCCGCCAUGGUCUUGCCCAGGUCGGCGAUAAGCCGCUCGGCGAGGCUGCGGCUGAAGUCCUCGCGGAUGACGACGCGCAUCACGGCGACGUGCUCGGCGUCGGCGGGCAUGGUGUAGGCCGGGACGAUCCAGCCGAAGCGGCGGAGGCUCUCGGCCACCUCGAACACCGUGUACUUGGAGGUGUCCUUGAGGGAGAAGGCCACCAGCGGCACGCCCGAGUCCUUGGACACCACGUCGAAGUAGCCCAUCUUCUCGAUGCCCUCCCGGAGCACCGUCGCGUUGUCGCGGCAGUUCUGCAUCACGUCCUUGUACCCCUGCCGUGCCCAUAACAUCAGUUGCAGAUAGAAUUGGUCUUAUAGUGUUUCCUGAUUUGUACAUGGACCUUAACAAGCUUAAAAACUUUUUCAUCUGUGCGUAUGUUUGCAUAAACUAGGAUUGCUUUUUCGAAUGACAUUGAAUGGACUGAUGGUGAAGAACAUUCGGAUAGCAUGAAGAAGUAAUGGACGGCAUCACAACAGUCUGAACAGCCAGCUGAAACUGAACAUGCAUGGAUUGCGUGUUUGUUCGCUUGCAGAUGCAAACAACACACGUUUCUGUGCGUUCCUUGCAAACACAAGCAACAAACAAGCCUCGGAUGUAAACCGUAGCAACAAUUACCUCAAAUCCGAGACGGAUGAGCUGGUAAUACUGCGCGAUGAUCUGGCUAGACCCUGCACAAAAUUAGAUAUGUCAGAGUUCAGCAUCUUAAUCGGCAACGAGAUGCUAAUAUGUGUCUGGCAUGGCGAUGAUCUUCUCGUGCCUUUGGAGAAGUUGAGCGUGAAGGUGGGCUGGUCCGCGCCGAGGUAGUUGAUGUGGAAGAUGAGCUCGUCGGGGAGGUCCUCCUUGCUCCUCCAGAUGACCCAGCCGACGCCGGCGUAGACGAGGCCGUACUUGUGGCCGCUGACGUUGAUGCUCUUCACCAGCGGCAGCCGGAAGUCCCACUCCAGCUCCGGGUAGAUGAACGGCGCGAUGAAGCCGCCGCUCGCCGCGUCCACGUGGAUCGGCGUGUCCCACCCCGUCUCGGCGUUCUUGGCGGCGAGCAGGUCGUUGAGCAUCUUGACGUCCUCGAACUCGCCGUUGAGCGUGGAGCCGAGGAUGGCGGCGACGCAGAUGGUGUUCUCGUCGACCAUCUCGGCGGCCUUCUCGGGGUCCAUGACGUAGUAGCCUUCCCUGAGCUUCACCUCCUUGAGCUCCACCUCGAAGUAGCGCGCGAACUUCUCCCAGCACACCUGGACGUUGGCGCCGGUGACGAUGUUGGGCUUGUCGUAGGGUUUCCCCGCCGCCUUCAUCUUGUUCUGCCACUUCCGCUUGAACGCCAGCCCGGCCAGCAUGAUUGCCUCCGAGGAGCCGACGGUGCCCACGCCGACGGCCGUCUCGUCGUCGCCGAUCGGGGCGUUGAAGAGGUGCGCGAUCAUGUUGACGCACCGGUUCUGUUCUUUUCCCCAGUGCAAUGCAAACUCGAUCAGCAGAGAUCAGCAGCAGUUCAGAGAUGAUGAUGGAUCCCGCGUAGUACGUGUACCUGGAGCUCGGUGGUGACGGGGGUACUCGUCCAUGUCGACGUAGUUCUUGUUGAUGGAGGCCUGGAUGAGCUUGUCGCACUCGGGCUCCAUCCACGUGGUGACGAAGGACGCCAGGUUCAGCCGCGGGUUCCCGUCCAGCAUCAGCUCGUCGUUGAUGAUCUGGUACGCCGCCUCCUUGGGGAUCGAUUGCUCCGGGAUCUUGAACCUGCGCACACCGCCGGCCGGCCGAUCAGUCCCCGGGACACGCAGCUGAAACUGAAAUCAGGGACGGCGGCGCGCCAUCGCGAUCGCUGCCGUGUUGUUACCUCGGGAGCGCGGUGCGCACGUAGCGUGACGCGAAGGUGGAGCAGUGCAGGGACUCGCCGGCGUUCGUCUUCGCCGUGGACAGCGCCAUUUCGGCUCAGUGGAUGCGGAUCUCUGGGUUACGCGGCGAAUUUCUCCGAGACGGGGGGGGGGGGGGGGGGGGGGGGGGGGGGGGGAGCGGAUCAGAGAGGACAGAGCGGAGCGGUGGGAGGAGCGGUUUUAUAAAGGGGAUGGAUGGGCCGGUGCGCGCGACGUGGUCGGGGCGCCCAUGGUUCUUGCGGAGACGAACGGGGGAGCAAGCAGCACGGCAUCCGCUCGUAUGCCGGGCAGGGCGCAGGUGUUUCGGCGCUGGACUCGGGGUGGGUCUCUCGCUCCGAUCUCCUGCUCGUCGCCCACUCGCAGAGACAACAGGAGGUAGCUGUUCCUUUUUCUUCUUUUGCGUGUCCAGUUGUGGCAUCUGCGCGGCGCUGAUGUCAUCUACGGAGUAGGACAGUAUAGGAGUACGGGAACAUAUCCAAUUUUGGCAAAGGUACCACAUGACUAGGCACGAUGUAACCAUUUAUUACAUGUCACGAAAAAUGUCUUUUGAGUUUUGACCAUGGAUGGUACAAAACGCGGCACACUGAAACCUGAUUCCAUCCGGAGGGAGCAUAUCAUAGAGGAUCCUGCGACAUCCAUCUUCUAAACAUUGUUUGGCACUCCAAGGGCCUAUACAAUGGAGCAAUAUGCCCAGCACCCUGCAAUGUUGAAUACACAAAUAAACGCAAAAGAUUGUUAUCUGAACAUACAUUAUGAUAUAAAACGUAGUGCAUAUAGCUAAAAAUCUUCGAAGUACACUGUCAACUGACAGCAUUUUCCUACAGCACUGACCUUCACGGUUGCAAAUGUUAGGUUGCUCGAGUAUCUCCUUGUGAAUCUAGGAAACAAAAUAAUUAGCUGGUUAGAGGAAUAUAAGAGUAGAGCAGUAUUAAUCUAUACAGAUCUAGCAGCUGGGAGGAAGUUGCCAGUUGAAGAUUGCUGAUGUGCAGUUUUUGUUUAAGAUUGUCAUACGCGCAUAUAUUGGUAUUUUCUUUUCAAAAAACAUUUACUAAUCUUACUAUUACUGCUAAAGGCUCCUCGAAGCCUACACGUGAAGUCACCUAGAAUCCUAGGUGAACACUUAGAAGAAGAGAGAAAUUCUAAAAAAUUCUCACAAAAAUACUAUUACUAAUUGGAGACCCUUUUGAAGUCUACAUGUGAGCCACCUAGGAUGAUCCUAGGUGAACACUUUAGAAAAAGAGAGAAAUUCUAGAAAUUCUCGCAAAAAAGUAAAACAACUAGCCAUCAAUCGGUAGACUCAAAUAAUCGUAGCCAUUGGAUCUAUAUGUCUUCUAAAAAAUUACACACCUAUGGUAUUAUGAAAAUAGCCUAAAGUAACCCUUAAAUCUAUAUCUAAAUUACCCACCUCUACCAUUGUGUAAUAAAUUAAAGUAACCCCUAAUAUUCAUCAAAAUUACCCACUUAUGCCAUUAUAAAUAAUAUUUAAAAUAAACCCUAAAUUUGCAACUAAAUUGCCCACCACUAAUACUCCAAAAUAUAACUUAAAGUAACCUUUUAAAUUUGCAUCUACAUUACCUAUAUAUGCUAUUAUUAAAAAUAACAUGAAGUAAACCCACAUUUCAAUCCAAAUCACUUUAAUUAAAAAUAUACACCAAUAUAUGAUUCUAAAUCAUCUAUCUAAAUCAUCUAUUUCUUACCUGCGAUAUAAUAAUUAAGGUUUAUACGUAUGAUGUGCAUCACCAUUUGUAAAGAUAUAGAGAAAGUGGUGAGAAUAUAGAUUUCUAUAUUAAAAUUAUAGCUCAAGCUUAUAGUCCAUUAAACAAAUUCAAGUGCUUACCAACUAUGCAAACUAAUUAAAAUCUGUAACGAUCAGUUGAAUAAUCAGAUGAAGAUAACAAGUAUAUAGAUAUAUACGUAUUGUAGCUCAAGAUAAUAGUUUUGUAGCAAGUGUGGACUUAUUUUUUUUUCAUUGAAGGCUCCUCAUUAGUUCUCACGAGACAUGCUAGAAAAAAAUCCUAAAAAUUUUAACAAAGAUAAGAAAAAUCAAUCCUAUAAAUAUAAUAAUCAUAGAUAUUGAUCUAUUAUAUUUUCUAAAAAGUUAACCACCACUAUCAUAUAAAAAUAUUCAAAAGAAACCCUAAAUCUAUAUCAAAAUUAACGAGCUAUACCAAAUAAUUUAAAAUAAUCUCAAAAUCUUCAUCCAAUUUACUCAUGCAUAUCAUUACAAAGCAUAACUUAAAAUGACAUUCUAAAUUUGUAUCUAAGUUACUGACGUAUGUCGUUAUCAGAAAUAACCUAAAAUAAACACCUAAAUCUUAAAUCUUAAUCUAAUUAUCUUCAAGUGCAUCAUACAGAAAUGUCCAAAAGUAAACUAAUAUAUUAUUAUAAAUUAUCUAUUUAUGUCAUUGUUAAUAUAGAAAUAUUAAGUUAGGGUAUAUAUGCAUGUAUCACCAUGUAGUAUACAUACAUGUAUGUGAGGAAGUGAUGAAAAAUAUUGAUUUUUAUACUAAACACAAUGUAUGGAGGUGCGAUGCAGAAUGAAAAAAAGUGUAAAUGUGGAUGAAAAAGUGUAUAGAGUAAUUAUUAAUUAAAAAUCAAUCAUAAUUGAACAAAGAUAAGCACACAUCUAUAUGAGUAUCGUGUUGCAGUAUUAAAAAAAUGAGAGAGUAGCUAGAAGUUUAAUUUCUAAAUAAUUUUUAAAUACAAUAGAUUUUAAAAACAUUAGUCCGUGCGGGAGUACACGAGUUGAUGGACCAGUACUUUAGAAUAUUCUAAAGAAAACAUUCAACAAGGAUAUAACAACUGCUAUCAAGUGUCAGACAACACAUCAAUUCAUCAAGCGUACGUAUGUGACAUUCCAGAUUAAGCAAGUGAUGAUGUAGAAGCAUGCUCCUUACCCAGCAACUUGGUCACCAACAUACCAUGGUCGCCAGUCAUCUACGAUGGUCAAGUUUAGGUGUCUAAUCCAUGCUUGUGUGCCAACAUGGGUUAUACCGGGAUCGUGAUCGCCACUGCAUGGUAAAUUCGUUAGGCAACCAAGAAUUCAAUGUAGGGUAAGCAUGCCAAAUAAUUUCUACUCCCUAGCCCAACAACAGUGCAAAUAUUGCACGGUCCAUAUAGUCUUCGAGUGGCUAUGCAGUAAAUCUGCAGCCUGCAAUACAAAGCACUAUACUUCCUUGGGCUAAUUACCUGUAUAUGAGAGCUGCGUAUCCUUUUGUGGCUAGCCUUGAAUGAUACUCCACUGCACUCUGGAUGUCUUCAGUGUAAGACAAUCCAUGGUUAAAUCUUCUCCAUUCUCCAAUUGUUCCCUGGAAUGUGGCACAAACAAACUCCAGUGAGAAAAUGUGCUCUUUGCUUUCUCUAGACUAGAUUGUGUGCCAAGAUCGCCGGUACCUUUCGAACACCAAGGCUCUCCUGAAUUGUUGCAUCAUUUCCCCAUAUGUCGGAUAGAACGUACUCAGCUUCCUGCAGCAAAAGGAAAGUGUUUGUAUGACAACAGAGUCAGAUAAAGCUUAACCACUAGUUGAUCCCUGACCGAAAUUGGACGAAGGAGAUCGAAUGAACAGUUUAAGGGUUGUGAGAUUCUUUGGCGAUCUUUGGCACUCAACUGGACAUUUGAACCCGGACAGAAACUCUGCAGACUCUAGCAUCACCCGACUAAUUCCGUCUGCCAGUGCCACAGUCUUGGUGCUCCACACCACAUCAGGGCAAGCCGGCUCCAGGAUGUGUUGCCCACUGAGAUCCCUUGUGCACUGCAUUUUCAUAACUUAGGCGGUAAAUCAUGUGAGCCAAUAUCAGGUUGCAAUGAGACACAUAAGCACAAUAUAUAGCCCCACUUGAGAGAUGCAAAAGGUGACUAAAAUUUGGGAAUCAGAAUUCAGAAUAUGUGACAAGCUACUGUCAUAAGCUUAACUAAUGGUUCAUAGUCAUCACAGCUUUCAAGUUUGUGCACCGACCUUUCAAGUUUGUCUACAUGUAACUGUUUGUGAUACUCUGUUUGCAUUGCAGAAGGCAUAAUUGAAAUUGUAUAAUGCAAGACUACUUUUGAUAAUAUACCUAAUGGUGCCGUUUCACACGAUCAAGUUCCAAAUAAUGAGAUCUGUAACAGUAUCAACUUAAGUACUCACAUUCUUUAUAGCUUGGAUGGCCUCUGUGCAUGCAGCGUUGCUAGGAGCACUAUAUUUUCCACCACAGUUCCCCCUAGCAUUCUGCAAGUAAAAAUAUGUGAAACAUAAUAAUAGUAUUUUUUGAAUGAAAGAUAUGUCAUUGCAACUGCGUUGAUCACCUUGAUGGUUAUCUUUAAAGCAUCUAGAACUAUAGUUGAAAGUAUGUUAUGUAAAUCAUUUUAAAAAUUUCAUGAGAUGAUGGAUCACCUCGUAAAGCUCAUCUGAUACAAGUCCCAUGCCAUGAAGAUAUGGAAUUUGGCCGUCCGUAUCAAAUUGGCUGUCAGUCACCGGGUUGCCAGCAAUGUACCCCUGAGUUUGUGUAGAAAAUAAAAAAAAAUUGAAUUAUACAUGUGCUCUAUAACCAACCAAGGCAGCACUGAAAUUGCCAAGCUACUCCUAGCCCGGAAUACAGAUCAGGUACAUACUGAAUUCAGUGAGGACUAUGUGAAAAAAAUAUCACAUUAAACCAAAUGUUACCCACCAUAUUUUAACACAUGAAUAAAUUUCAUUGCAGUCCUAGAUCUUUAGCUUAUUAUCACAUAAAUUGAAUCCUUCGUCUCAUUCACUCAUGAAUCAGGUCCUAAUUAUCUUACCAAUUAGCAUGUUUUUUAAGCAUCUUGCUCCUUCGAAAUUUAGUAACUUAGGUUUAUCCUUAUUUUCAUUUUUUUGCACUUUUGUAGAUUAAUCAUUUUUUCUUUUACAUCCUAUGGAUUAAUUAAGACUCCUUGUCUUCUUAUUGGUUACUUGAUCUUGAAAUCAGAAUCUAAAUUAAACAUUACGUGAAUAUUUACAUCACUACAGUAGAAUGCGCAUGCAAUUGUUAUUGAUUGUGUUGAUACAUAAGGAGUGGACAUAAAAAAUGUAUAUUUUCAUGGUCCGAAUGAUGUUAUUCGGUUAUUCCCGAACCAAGAAACAUGAGAAAAGAAAAAAAGGUCCCUAUUUUUCCCAGAAAAGAUAAAAAAGAACCAUUUGAGAGAAGAAUAAAUGGGCAAAAUUAAUAAUCGAGGUAAGCUCAGGACAAAUAUCUUAGUGAACAUUGAAAUAUUUUCACCAGACCUUGAGAUUGAAAAGUGGUUUUUCACCAAGUUCUAUACCUGCAAAUUGUAAAAAAGUUGUUAACAGUGCCUCAUGUGUAAAAUAAAAAAAUGAUACAGUGAAUCGAAUAUUUGUUUUUUUAUAGACAUAAUCACAUAAACCAUGUCCAUGUCCGGCAGGGCGUACUAGGACUGUUCUUUAUUACCAACAUUUGGGUGGCCAAACAGAUUAGCAACUAUUGUACUCGUCACCAGUAAUAUUGGAUUAAAGAUAUUGCAAAACCCAGACAGUCUAAAGCAAAAGUUGUUGUUUUGAUUCAGGGGCAUCAUUUUGACUAUAAGAUCAACUUAGUUAUAGCCUUUUUAUAGAGUAAUGCGCAUAUAUAUAUAGUGCGCCGUCAGAGAAUUUUCUAUUCACUCAUAGAUCUCACCCAAUUAAAAAGUUCCAUGAUCUAGAGAACAAAUUUGAAAGGAAGCUUACUUCUGUCGAUUUCUAAUGUAAGACCAGGAAUGAUGAGACCACUGUAUGAAUCCCCAGCAAUGUAAAGCGGAUUCGACAGGAACCGGGGAUGAUCUUGAAGCCACUGCACACAACCAUUCUCUCAGAGCAUACAGAAAGUAGUAUUUUAUUCACGCAGACAAAAUGUUACAGUCUGUUGCAGUCUUGCAGAGUGGUGGCUACUCUAUAUAGCGUUAUAGCAAGUAACGUCAGGCAACAUCAAGAGCCUUGUUUAGUUACCCAAAAUUCCAACCUUGACACUAUGCAAAAAGAAAAUUCCUAUCACAUCAAACUUACGGUACAUACAUGGAGUACUGAAUGUAGACGAAAUCAAAAAAUAAUUGCACAGUUUGGUUGUACUUUGCGAGACAAAUCUUUUAAGCCUAAUUAGUUAAUAUUUGGACAAUAAUUCACAAAUACAAACGAAACACUACAGUAUAUUAUAGUGCUAGCGCAGUGAUUUUAGUUGUCCAAAAUCGGGCAUCUAAACAGCCCCUAGGACGGCCAAGCAGUCCUCGGGCGUGUUGACCUGCUGUGCUGCUCGAGUCUGAGACAGGGGAAGGAGGAGGCACUGACCUUUCUGAGAAAAAUGACCAGCUGCUCCACUGCUUUGGUGUCAUUGGCCUUGAGCCCUUCCUCCGUCGUGGCGUAGGAGAACCCAGUCCCCACCGGGGAAUCCACGAAUAUGAUGUUGCUCGUCUUGGUCGAUGUCUCCGGCCGGUAGAGCAGGGUUGGGAACCCGCCUCUGUACCCUUUGGCAUCAAACUUUAGGGGUCCUAUGCACACGCGCAUUUCACCCCUGGGUUAACACGCAAAUCUCCCGUCGACGAACUCGGUGCGGCCGGCGAAGAGAAUGGCGGCGGCGCAAGCCGGGGGUUACCUAUCUCGUAGGCGAGGCCGGAGAUGCCGGAGCAGCCGGGCCCGCCGGACAGCCACAGCACCAGCGGGUCCUCGUCCGAGUCCUUCUCCGACCGCACGAAAUAGUAGAAGAGCUGCACGCCGUGCCGCUCGUCCACCUCCACGUACCUGCAGCAUCCCAGCGCAGCAGCACGCAGCGGCCGCUGCCGCCGCACCGGCGGUGAGAACGAAGCGAGAUAAAGCACGGGGGUUUGCACUUUGCAGGGACAGAUCUCGGCGGCGCGGCGAGUGCGUACCCGGUUUCGAGGUAGAACGGGAGGGGCCCGUCGAACCCGCGCAUGUGCGUGACGACGUGGCCGCUGCCGCCGGCCGGCCAGAGCCGGAGGCUGGCGGCGAGGAGGAGCCACAGCGACAGCAGCAGCGAACGCUUGCCGCCGCCGCCACUGUUCCUGUUCGACAUGGCUGUCGACUGCCGCUGAUGAUGGAGCGGAGUGUCCGCCGAUGGUUGCUCGGCGCGUUAGCGGCGGCUCGCACAUUUAAAACGCCCGCGCGAGCAGGGUAAGCUUGACGUGGACGAUCGUCCUGAUGAAGGCAGCGGCAGCACGACGCGUGGACGUUUCUUGUUUGUUCCCUGUCUCUCUCGUUCAAGACUCAAGAGGUUCCGAACUUCCAACCACUUUGCGUUACCUACCCUUUGAAAAAUGUACUUUUUUUGGGUCGCAGUCCGUAUCGCCCUGCGAUGUAACGGAUGAGUAGUUGGGAGAAAGCUUUCCCCCUCGACCUCCUAAAAAAUCUACUCUUAAUGUGUAAAAGUAAAUUGAGUUUUGAAUUCAAAUUUUUCGAGACGACGUAUAAUUCAAAGUUCCUAUAAUUUUUUAGAACAUGUAAGAUUCCUAUAACUAAGGGGUGUUUGGAUACUAGGUGCUAAACUUUAGCAGUGUCAUAUCAAAUGUUCGAAUGCUAACUAGAAGGACUAAACAUGAACUAAUUAUAAAACUAAUUACAGAACUCCUAUGCUAUUUCACGAGAUGAAUCUAUUAAGCCUAAUUAAUCCAUCAUUAGCAAAUGGUUACUGUAGCACUACAUUGUCAAAUCAUGGACUAAUUAGGUUUAAUAGAUUCGUCUCGCGAAUUAGACUCCAUCUGUGCAAUUAGUUUUAUAAUUAGCCUAUAUUUAAUACUCCUAAUUAGCAUCCAAACAUCCGAUGUGAUAUAUGCUAAACUUUAGCAUGGGGUAUCCAAACACCCCUAAGAGACGGCCACAGAUAUUAGUAUCCUUUUCGGUCCUAUUUCAUUUUUUCCUUUUAUUUUGAGAGGUUCCUGGCCCUAUUAGCUAGGUCCAUUACUUUCCUUUUGAGACUGGGUCGUGAAACAGGCUGAAAGCCUACCCAACUGCAAUGUAACAGAGUGAUGGGCUUUACGGAUACUGGGCCAAACCGCUUCAGUCUCUCAGCUGUCUCUAGUGUGAACGAGAGCUUUGCCAACGCACAACCCUAGUGUCUAGUGAGCAACAGCGGCCGCCGGCGAGACACCUGCGCGCGGCGGGGAGUGGGAAGGCAGGCGCCGGGCACCUGAAACCAGCGGUGGCAGGUUCGUGUCAGUGCGGCACCAUUAAGCAGCUGCCGCAGGCAGUCGGCGCCACCGCAGCACCGGGCAGGUCGAGGCGAGGACUGAGCAGGUACAUAUUCCAAAUUUCCAAGGACACCCAUCAACUGAUAACUGAUAAGUCCUGCCUUUGUAGUCCGAUGCAUAAUUGCAGCUACGCUAGACGCACAAUCGAGGCGAAUUCGAUUAAUACCCUGUUAUAAUAUUCGAACCAAUAUAUGCGCCAGCUCCCAGCUCUCUAAUGGGUGAAUCUCGCUUCUGUUUUCUUUUUCUAUUUUUAUCUCUAGGAAUAGGAUUAUUUUACUGAAGCACACGAAAUGGCUGUUGAACCAUUAGAACCUAUAUUAGCUCAUCAUUCUACUUGUAUCGAUAGACUCCAACAAUUGUUUAUUCAUCCAUAUGUUAUAUAUACAUUGGCAGUGGGUAUUUAGAUUCCUCAAUAAUGGAAAAUAACGAUGUCAAGAUGCAUUCGAAGUUGUAAAACUCAACAAAAUUCUAGUAAUCAAACUUCAAGCUUGGUUGAUGACUUGACUUGUGACUAGCACACAUUAAUGAGCUAUAUAUUGGUGAUUGGCGCAUCAUUCAUCAUUUGGGUACUAUCACCAGUUCCUCAAUCUCAUUGUUUUUCGCUUUGCUUCUGCUCUACUUAUGUAUAAAUUUGGCUUGAACAAUGCAGUUUUAUGUAGGUUCCUUAUGCAUAUCCUGAAUUUGAGUCCUGCGUACGCUGUCUAUACCACCCCUGCCACACCACUCAAGCACAGAGAACCACACAAACAGCAGGCCAUGGCAUCACUGGCGGGAAGGAGCAGCAUCCGCCACUCCAAGAUUCCAGAGUUCUUGGUGGGCCCUAGUGGGCAACCGAUGCCAGCAGUAGGGCUUGGCACGGUGUCGCACCCAUUCGUGGAGGACGAAGUUAGGGCCGCUGUGCUCACCGCGCUGGAGCUCGGCUACCGUCACAUCGAUACCGCAGCGCUGUAUGCCUCUGAGCGGGUUGUCGGCGAGGCCAUGGCUGAGGCAUUGCAGUCUGGGAUUGUGGCAUCUAGGGAGGAGCUGUUUGUGACGAGCAAGGUGUGGUGCACACAGUGCCACCCUGAGCUCGUGCUCCCAUCCCUUAAGGAGAGCUUGCAGUAAGUUUCUGGAGCUUGAUUUUGCCUCCUGCCUAUUUGGAAUCUUAUAGUAAACUUUGCAGUGAAAUACUUGGUUCCUUAAACCAAUUUCUCACUUAGGUAAUUAAGAGAUAUUGGUGCGGUGAAUUUGUAUGGGGUGCCCAUCUAAUUGUUAGCCAUGUUUCAGGCUUGCAGCUAUUAUUGAAACCAGAGCUCAAAGUAUUGUUAAAUUUGGAAUCUGGAAACAGUUCACAACUAGAAGUUGAAAUCAACCCUGAUUUAGACCCAAUCAAGUUACUGAAUUUAAGGUUAUUCUGUAAAAAAAUUUAACAGAUUGAACCGUUACAUCCUGUUUGAAAUCAAAAUUCUAUGUACCGAACAUUUGUAGUCUAUACCGAAAGCAAAUAUGCAACUUCAAAUGUUAGUUCAUAAACCUCACAGCAUUAAAGUUAGUACAGAAAUUAUAUGUUUACAAGUUGUAAUUGAAUUGGCACUAUAAGUUACUGUAUUUAACCACUUCUGCAGUAGCCGGCAUUACCUAUAGAAAUAAUCUACUUUGGUGAUAGGCAAGAUACUUACCUCUCCAUCUGCAGGAACCUUCAAAUGGAAUAUGUUGAUUUGUACCUGAUUCAUUGGCCCAUGGCUGUAAAGCCUAGCAAGCCUCAUUUCCCAAUGAAAAGGGAGGACAUUGUGCCGAUGGACCUGAGUGGUGUAUGGCAGGCUAUGGAGGAAUGUCAUCGGCUUGGCCUUGCUAAAAUGAUUGGUGUUAGCAAUUUCACAACAAAGAAGCUGCAGGAGCUGCUUUCCAUUGCAAAAAUACCUCCAGCAGUAAAUCAGGUUUGUAUUAAUCAAUUAAUGAAUCGCUGAUGGCAAUAACCCUCUAGAUUUCUGUUGUUAGCUACCAAUCUUUAAUUUUUCCAAGUUUCUUGUAUGACUACCAAUCUAUUUUUGUAUACCUCAUGUUAAAGAAACCAAUAUAUUUUACUAUAUUUUAUUAGACCAAAGGCUUUUGGUUUUGGCCCAGCUUUAUAGAAAGCAAAGAUCAUCCAUUGGAGUUACCAGCUUUACAAAAAAGCUAGCAAAAAAUCAUGCAACUCCUACUUAGAGCUUACUAGGCCUUAGACAGAGGAGACCAAGAAACCUCAUCAUGGCGACAUCAGCUAAUGAGUUUUCUAGUUUCCUGAUCAAGGACUUAAAAAAAACUCUCACUCUAGAAUCCCUCCAAACUGUAAUCUUCGCGCAAAAUAUAUUGCUAUCCAUGACAACUGAAAGAGAACAUGGUAUAUCGGUUAUCCAACAUCAACGGGUAGAAUUGGAUAUGUCUCUUGACGUAGCCUCACAAGCUUUCCCUUCAGUCUCUGUCCACCCAUUGUUGACCAUCCUCCUUGUUUAACUGCUUCCAUCGCUGCAUAAGGGACACCAUAUGGAAGAUCACAGUCUCUGUGGAAGAGGCUGCAAUGUUUUGAAAGACUAAAACAUUCUUAGUCAACCAUAAGGUCCAACAUACACCUCCAAGCAUGAAAUAGGGUUCUGUUUUAGCUGUUUAUUUUGAACUUGAACCAGUAGUGUUUGGCAGCUCUCUAAGCUAACUGGGACAUGCUGCCACUGAAAGAUAUCUCUGCACAUACUCCACACACACGCAGCCAUAGAGCAUUGAACACUAUAUUAUCGGUUAUUUCAGUCACGCUGUUCUUCUUUGCACUCAGGAGUGCUUGGCCAGUUCUUCAACAACGGUUCAGCUGAUUGAAUCCUAUCAUUAUAGACUUGCCACAUGAAAACUAAUUUUUAAUAGCAAUUUAUCUUUCAACAUAUCAACCAUUGUAUUGUCUGUAACGGUGUAACCUCUGGAAACCUCACAAAUUUAUAUAAAGAUAAGGUGGAUAAACCCUGACUUCUCCAGUGCCAAACUCACUAUACUGAACUUUGAGCCGAGCUGAUGAAACUCAUUCUAUAUGGUCGUAUCUUUUAUAAGUUCAAGUCUUCCAUAUCAUCUCAAUGUCACAUCAGUGGUAGUCAUGCAUGUGAUAACCUCUGCAGGUUGAAUUGAAUCCGACUUGGCAGCAGAAAAAACUAAUUGAGUUCUGCAAAGAUAAGAGUAUUCAGGUGGCUGCUUAUUCUCCCCUGGGAGGCCAAAGAAUACCUAAAAUGAAUCCAGUACGACAAUCUGAUGUUCUGGAAGAGAUUGGAAGGACCAGAGGGAAGUCAGUGGCUCAGGUAUGAACUGUAUUCUCUCAAUGCAUCUUCAUCUUACUAGAGCAAUUCACUUGAUUUCUCAUCCAAACUCAAAAUCUUUGAAUGCUCUCACAUAUUUAUCAAAUUCGGUGUAGAGGUGAUGAUUGCACAGUAUUUCUUGGCUAAAAACUAAUUGCACAUAUUUAUCACCUUACUAGGGCUUGCACAGUAUUUCUUGGCUAAAAAACUUUAUGCAGUUUGGCAGUGCACCUAAUAUGUAGUUUAACAAGCAAACGCAUGAGAAAAACACACUAACAGCUCAACAAAACGAUCUAAUCUGUGUUCUGAACAAAAUGUGACAGAAAUCUGAAUUCAAUACUGGCAACCUGUCGCAUUCUUGCAGUUUUGCUAACAUUAUGUGAUUUUACCAACUCAACUAACUUCCCAUUCCCCCCAGAUUUCACUGAGAUGGAUCUACGAGCAAGGUGCAAGCAUGGUGGUGAAGAGCUUGAAAAGAGAAAGGCUUAAGGAGAACAUCGAGAUUUUCGAUUGGGAAUUGAGUGAUGGAGACCGGUCGAAGAUUGGUCAGAUACCACAGCGCAAGUUGAUCACAGUACAGAAUCUUCUCUGCCCUGAAGGCAUCUCCAGUGUGGAUAUCUCGGAUGUUGAUGUUUUUGAAAUGUAGCUGUGAUCUCCGAAUAUUUGUGGUGGAUGAAGAAUUUAGUGUAUAGCAGGUUUAUACGUCAGAAGCAGGUAAGGCAUCUUUUUCACAUGUAGUCCCAAGAAAGUAGACAUAGGCUAAAUCCUUUGUUCCCAUGACUUUUCUUUUCCUGCAGGUUACCUGACUCUGCUCUGCGCAAUCUGUGAUAAGAUUAAAUUGCACAAAUUUUCGCUAGCACAUAUACCAUCCAUGCUGACUUUUAUUCUGAGUCACUGAGAUAUGUUAUAUAUGUUAGCAUUGAACCUAAGACUGCUUAAUGGCGUAGCUUUUUCGUUUGUUGACCACAUCAGCUUUGCUCUUUUCCAGUAAGCAGCCUUUUUUUUGGGUUCUAACUAGGGAGGUUGCAGUUGUCCUUGCAUUUUGAAAGGUUCAGCUCAUUGAGCAUUUUCAAUCGAUUUCAUGGCCUACAGCAUACAGUAUUUCCUGUCUAUGUCUCAAUCCAUUAUCGCUGUUUUUGAAAACUAAUACCUGACAAUUUGGGCUCUUAGGAGAGGUGCAAUGUUUGCAGCCUCGAUAUGAAAAUGCGCACUUUGUUACACCGUUCUCACUUGAAAAUGUGCUGGUUUUCUGAUCCCACUGAAAAUGCGCUGUCUUUCUUCUGUACUAUUUUUCUUAUUUCUUUUUGGCAGAACACACUAUAGCGGGUGUCUUAGUUCGCGGUGAAGAGGCGCAAGGAGAAAUUCGCAUGGUUUAGUGCACAAGGGUUACUGGCUAACCAGUUGACACAUAAAUGACUGUCUACGGGUGAUGGAGCAAUCUUUCACAAGAACCUAAGCGCAGACUGAACGAGCAAAUUUGAAAAAGAAAAGGAGAUGAGGAGAUACUGCCUUUCCAUUUUGUUGUGCUUUUUAUGCGCGCUUCGUCUUCGUUUAUCGAUCCUGUGUUCUAGAUGUCCCCCUAGCACUGACCUGUCAGAAACGUGGAAAAAAGAUAGAAGUAUUUUCUGUUGAAUGCUUGCAAUGCAAUGCACCCCCUCCGACCGUAAAGACUGUUCGAAGAUAGUAGCAAUGCUAAAAGUUUAUAGUACCCUAAUAAAUCUUUUUAAUCGGAUGUAUUACUGAGUUGAAUUAAUUAUGCAUGCACGCUUGCUCGGGCAUCGAUGGUGGGAGUAAAUGAUCAAUCCGUUAACUGGGUCAGAAGGUAUUAUGAUGGCCUUUGUUGGACUGUAUGUUUGUUGGAUUGUCUGAAAGUUAUAUAGACACUGUUUGUGGGAUAAGUUUUGAAGGUUAAGAGCAACUCUAAAAGUAUGCUAAAAAUUUCUUCCCCAAAACGAGGUAUUGGAGGUUAUGCUAAAAUAUUUCUCCUUCAAAAAUAUAUCAACCCAUAGCAGAAUGCUAAAAGCUAGUCAUUCUGCUAAAAGUUAGUCCCCCAAUAUUUCAAAUCAAGCAACGUCAUCGUAUUGGAUCCAUUUUAAAAUCCAUUUUUUUUGCUAAGCAGCAUUGGAACCUCACGCACCAUCGCCAGGCUUUUUAUUUCCUCACGCACCAUCACGCCGCCAGAACCAAGGCCACCCACGCCAUCGUCACGAUCACGCCGGCGACAGAUUUUUUAUUUCCCUGUAAAAAAUAAUGCACAAGUAACUCCACAUGCACAACCUCAAUAUUGCUAUGAUAUAUCUGAGUUGCAUGUGGGGAUCCAUAUAUAAGACCAUAACAAUCAUGAAUCAGGAUGAACAUUUUUAAAUUCCAUAACAAUCAAAUGCAGUCUUGCACAUAGCAAUACCCUCAUUAUCGUAUUUAAAGUACUCCAUACAUCAGUCUUGCACAUAAUAGAUCACACACUUAUUCGUAGUGCUAGCAACAAUACCAUGGUAACUUGACUCUGCAACUAUCAAAGGCUGCAAGCAGCAUCUGUUAUUCAAACUAGGACUUAAAGACUAUAUAGAGACAAACCAUAAGUAGAUACUAUUGACAAGUUGAACCAUAUCACUUCUAAGUAGAAGCUGGAUACAUGGUUGUGCUCUUCUGGAGUGCCCAAGCCCUGUGCUUUAGCCUGAUGAAGUCCGAAGCUUUUGUAUCCACAUCAUCUUUCAUCCUGUGGCCAUGCCCCAACUUGUCACUGGUGCCUGGUGCUGCCCCAUCCUUGAUAGCAUUGGACGUGGGACGGGGGGAGUACUGUAACAACAAGUUGACCGCAGAAAUCUUGAGCUCGGUACUUGUGACAUCUUCGUCCACUGCGCCCCCUGCCGCCCCCUGCCGCCGGGUUUGGGUACACGGCGCACGCCAUCUACCUCGCCGAUGCAAUUUUGUAGCGAGUUUGUAAAUUGUAAACCCCGGAUCACAUCGUUUUGCACGCAACCUUUCCCGAUUCGAGGUCACCACCUGCGCUGCUCCCCGUCGACUGCCUCGAUGUAUAGGAACUGCCAAGUUUUGGCGAGAGGCCAUUUGUUUAGGACCGCGGCCAUCGCGACCCGCGACCCGGAUCGCCUUGGUUUUCGCCACGGCCAUUUCCCCGAUUCCACCGACGGAGGCACUCACCUCACCCUAGGCGGAUAGUGGGCACGCCGUUGUAUUGCUAAUUUGCUACUAGCGCCCAUGGAAGCCAUGGCACGCAAUCUAGUGGCAAUAUGCGUGCGUGGUUGACCAAAUUAACUUCAUCCACUCCAAUCCAUGCGUGCAUGCGGCCAAUCGCCUGUGCUCUGAUGCUAUAAAAGGAGGUAGGACAACGACGUCGAUCAACUCACAGCAACCCACUACUAAGGCCUUCAUCAUGUCUCUGCACUCCAGCAGCUCACCUGUGCUCCCGCUGCUCGUGCUCUCGCUGCUGCUGCUGUCGCCUCCGGGGACACUAGCCGGCGAUGCCCACCCGCCGUCCAAGCCCGUAGUGACCGCCAUCACCAAGGACGACUCCACCGGGCUCUACACCAUCCCCGUCAAGAACGGCGCGCCGCUCGUCCUCGACCUCGCCGGCCCGCUGGUCUGGUCCCCGUGCCAGUCCCCGCACCGCACGGUCCCGUGCAAGUCCAGCGUCUGCACCGUCGCCAACAGGAACCGCCCGGCUAGCUGCGCGUCGUCCGCCAACGGCGGCCAGCCGGGCUCCGCCGACCCCAACUGCGCCUGCACCGCGUACGCGUACAACCCGGCGAGCGGCCAGUGCGCCGGCGGUGACCUCUUCUCCGUGCCGCUCUCCGCCAACGCCACGGACGGCAACAACCCGCUGUUCCCCGUGACCUUCUCCGCCUACUCGGCCUGCGCGCCCGACGGGCUCCUCGAGUCGCUCCCCUCGGGCGCCGCCGGCGUCGCGGGCCUGUCGAGGCAGCCGGUGUCGCUGCCGUCCCAGGUCGCGUCCAGGCUGAAGGUGGCCAAGGAGUUCGCGCUGUGCCUCCCCGGCAGCGGCCAGACCGGUGCUGCCAUCUUCGGCGGCGGCGCGUUCGUGAUCCAGGCGGCUCCACAACCCAUUGAUUUCGCCGGAGAGAUCCGCCAGAACCCCCUCCCCCUCCUCAAGAACCCCAAGAACGGCGCCUACUACUUCGGCGUCCGCGGCAUCGCCGUCAACCAGGAGCACCUGAACCUGCCGGCCGGCGCCUUCGACCUCGACCGCCGCCAGGGCACGGGCGGCGUCGUGUUCAGCACCGCGACGCGGUUCACCACGCUGCGCUCCGACAUCUACAGCGCGGUGAUGAACGCGUUCGACGCGGUCACGCGCGGCAUCCCGCGCCGGAAGCCCUUCCCGCCCUUCCAGCUGUGCUACGACGUGUCCGGGGUCCCCACGACCCGGGUCGGCCCCGCCGUGCCGAACAUCGACCUGAUGCUCGACGGCGGCCGGAACUGGACGCUUCCCGGCGACAGCUUGCUGGUGCAGUUCGGCGGCGGGACAGCGUGCUUCGCGUUCGAUAGCAUGGGGAACGAGCAGUCGGCGGCGUUUAACUCGCCGGCGGUCAUCUUCGGGGCCCACCAGAUGGAGAACAACCUGCUGCUGUUCGACCUGGAGAAGGGCACGUUCGGCUCCAGUGGGCUGCUCUUGGGAAGGAGCACCACCUGCGGCAACUUCAACUUCGCCGUGGGGAGCUCGUAGAAGUGUCAGCAGAGUAGCAGGAAGGAUUCAUCCUAUUUCCAAUUUUCUCUGUUUCGUACGAGUCCAGCUAGUUUCUUUUUGUUUCUCUGUUUCCAUGACCUCGUUUCAGUACCUGAAAAAAAAGAAACAGGGGAAUUUGCAUCCAAUAUACAAACAUUAAAGACGCACUUUUCACCUAUACAAUAUUAACAUCAGACUACAAUUCAUUUAUACAUAAUAAAACAAAUAUUUUACUACUCCCUUCCAAAUUGCAAGUUACUUUGAGAUUAAUAGAUUUUGUCAUAUACCUAAGAUAUACACUAUCUCUAUAUACGUUGCAAAACUAUAUAUAUUUACAAAUACUAAAAUAAUUCGAAAUGUAGGAAGUAUAAUUUAUUAGAAAAAAAAUGGAUCUAUACCAUUGAAAGAUUCAAACUUUAGAAAAAUAUCAUAAAAGAUUGAACUUUAGAAAUUUGCCAUCGAAAUGUUGCUCUAUUAUUUCUUUCUACUCAUUCAUGUUAUCUACCCCUCCAUUACGAAUUGUAAGGAGUUUUAGCUUUUCUAAACAUGAAGCUUUUACUGUGUACAUAGGAAUUCAAAAAACCCCUCGUAAUUAGAUGUGAACUCUUGAUUAAAAAAAACAAACGAAUUCACCCAGCGAGCCUGCCCGGCCGAACGCACACACGCACCCCAGGCCCAAACACACGGAUCCAAGGCUGCAGUCCAUCGCCAUCCCUGUUCCUCCGAGAACGGCGGGCGCUCGAAGUGGCUCGCGAAGCUGCGCCGCCCCCCGACGAAGUUGACCAUCGCGAGCGCCCCAACUCAGCUGAGGCGAGCACGACCCGGUCCGACGGGUGCACGGGGAGCCUCUCGGCGCGGGAACCGCGCGGAGCGUGGCGAGGAGUGCGAGUCCGUCGGCAUCGUAGUGGUGGAGCACACUCCGUCGUCGCAGUCGGCGAGGAGGUUCCGUCGUAGUGCCCAGAUGAACCGCUCGUAGGAGCCGGUGACAAGGUGAGUUCGUGAGGUUUUUGUUUAUCUCGGUGUCAUUACGAGGAAAUUUGCCAAAAAAGAAACUUAUUGAUUUCUGCAAAGAUAAGUGUAUUCAGUUGGCGGCUGCCAUCGAGAUGCAGGCCACGGCCCACAAGCAAAUAACCAGGCACCACACUAGCUGCCUCUGCGAUGCAAUUUUGUAAGCCAGAUCACAUCUUUUGCACGUAACCUUUUCUUGAUUCGAGGCCACCACGUGCAAUCUCUCGACUGCCGCGGUGCACGUAACAAACCACACGCCUCCAGCAUUAUAGAUGGCCAGACCACUGGGUGGCCCGUAGCACAGCCCAAAAAAGUCCAGCACUAGCCCGGCACGACCCGUAAUGGAUAGUGCCCAGGCCGACUCGGCAUGAUACGUCGGGCCAUGCUUGGGCUGCCUCCCCGGCACGCUGGACUAGCACGAGCCCGGCACGGAUUUUGGGUCAACCCGAUACCCUGCGACCCUCCUUCCAACCAUUGGAUCAAGCGGGACGCUCCCCCUCCCCCUCCUGAUCGUUGGAUCGGAACGUUGGGGAGGGUAGUAUAUAACCCCAGGGUCGGCCGCGUCCCCCAGCUAGAAACCCUAACGGUUCAUUUUUUCCUUUGUUCGGCCGACGCUCUCGCCCCUUCACGACUCUCUGGCUCUCUCGCCCUCUCGUCUCCUCCCUCUCCGGCGACCGGAAGUCGGCGUUGGCCGCCGCCCUAGCCAGAAACCCUAGCCUCCUUGCUCCCCCGCCCACUCCUCCCUCGACUCCCAUCACUCUUCGCCUCUCCGCCUCUCUCUCUCCUCCUCUAACCUCUCGCACCUCUCUAGACUAGAUGACUAGAUCCACUCUCUGGCCGCUCCCGUCAUCUCCUUGCUAGAUCCGUUGGUCGUCGACCUCGCCGGUCGCUCUGGUGGUCCAGAACCGUCGGUAAGAUCUCCUCCCCUCAUCGGUCACUCUAGUGCUCUGGAACUGUCGGUAAGAUCUCCUCCCCUCAUCGGUUGCUCUGGUGCUCCAGAUACGAAACCGCCAGUCUCGAAGCCGUUGAGGGACUAGAGGUUCGGUGAUUUGCUAGUUAGCCAUCGAUCUUGUUCUAGCCUAAUUGUCUUCUUCCCCCAUCCCCCACCUACUCCUCUCUCCUGUCGCCACCUCUCUCUCAUCCUCUUGCUCCUCCCUAGCUCUAGUGCUCCGGAUCCGUUGUUCGUCGACCUCGUCGGUCGCUCUGGUGCUCCGGAUUUGCUGGUAAGCCAUCGAUCCCUCGCUCCUCCUUGGCUUUGGUGCUCUACUUGAUUUCUUCUUUUCUUUGACGUCUUGUCAUCUCUGUUUACAGGGCAGUCUGUUGAGGGACUAGAGCACCGACGAUGGACGACGACGACGAGUUCCAGGGCACACCAUCAACGAUGAGCUUUGGAUGAUGGGCCAGCGUCCAGAUGACGAGAGUGACAUAGGGACGGGGCGGGAAGAGCUCUUCGGUGGCAGCGAUGCCGAACCAAUAGACGUCGCUGAUGGCGGUGACGACGGUGCUGGUGAAGCAGCACCUAAUGCUGCUGAUCCAGACAUGGUGAGUAGCGGCACUAAGAGGAGCCGUUCCACCACCUCUGAAUGCUGGAAGGACUUCGAAAAGAUAUUCAAGGACAUCAAUGGUAAGAAGGUAAGGGUCUCUACUAAGGCAUUCAUUAUGGCACUUUAUACGCUGCUCAAUCUUCUAUUGGCACUAGCCAUCUAAACCGGCAUGUUGAGAAAUGCCCAACGAGGAAGUCAAAGCUUCGUGUUUUCCAACCUUUGAUCCAAUUCAAUAUGGACGGAAGUGUCCGUCACUAGGAUUACAGUUCUGAGGUAGCUCGUACUCAGCUUUGUUGAAUGAUUGCUAGACUUGAUUUUUCUCUUAGUUUUGGUGAAUCUGCUGCAUUUGAAGAGUACUUUAAGUUUGCUCAUAAUCCUAGAUUCUCUACUGUUUUUAGAUAAACGACCACUAGAGAUUUCAGCAAGUACUUUAAUGAUUACCGUGCUAAGUUUAUUGAAUCAUUAACUAGUAUUUCAUCUGUGUCUAUCACUUCUGAUAUCUGGUCUAGUAAUAUUAAGGAAGAUUACCUUUCUCUACUGUUUCUAGAUAAACGACCACUAGAGAUUUCAGCAAGUACUUUAAUGAUUACCGUGCUAAGCUUAUUGAAUCAUUAACUAGUAUUUCAUCGUUGUCUAUCGCUUCUGAUAUCUGGUCUGGUAAUAUUAAGGAAGAUUAUCUUAGUAUGGUUGCUUAUUAUGUUAAUGUUGAAUGGCAAUUAGAGAAGAGGAUAAUUGAUUUUAGGCUCAUUGAUGAAUCUCAUAUUGGCCAGAACAUUGUUGAUCGUGUGACUUCUAUGCUUGAGGAGUAUGAUUUGAUUUCAAAGAUAUUUUCUGUUACUUUGGAUAAUGCCUGUGCUAAUGCCACGUACUAAUGCCGCAGCACCCCACCCGUGCUCCCGCUGCUCGUGCUCUCGCUGCUGUUCCUGCUGUCGCCUCCGGGCGCACUCGCCGGCGAUGGCAAGCCCAUCGUGACCCCCAUAUCGAAGGGCGCCUCGCUCUACACCGUCCCCGUCAAGAACGGCGCGCCGCUCGUCCUCGACCUCGCCGGCUCGCUGGUCUGGUCGCGGUGCCCGCCGCCGCAGGGCAGGGCCCCGUGCAAGUCCAGCGUGUGCGCGGUCACCGCGAAGUCGCUCUCCGCCAACGCCACGGACGGGAAGAACCCGCUGUACCCGGUGUCCUUCCCCGCGAACGUGGCGUGCGCGUCCGACGGGCUCCUCGCGACGCUCCCACCCGGCGCCGCCGGCGUCGCGGGCCUGUCGAGGACGCCGACGUCGCUGCCGUCCCAGGUCGCGUCAAAGCUGAAGGUGGCCAGGCAGUUCGCGCUCUGCCUCCCAGGCGGCGGCCAGACCGGCGCGGCCAUCUUCGCCGGCGGCCCGUUCCAGCUCCUGGCUUCCCCGCCCGUGGAGCUCGCGGAGGGUCUCCGUCGGAACCCCAUCCCGCUCCUCGACAACCCCAGGAACGGCGCCUACUACUUCCGCGUGCACGGCAUCGCCGUGAACCAGGAGCCGGUGCCCGUACCGGCCGGCGCCUUCGACCUCGACGCCCGGCACCGCACGGGCGGCGUCACGCUCAGCACGGUGACCCCCUACACCACGCUGCACUCCGAAAUCUACCGCGCGCUGCACGACGCGUUCGACGCGGCCACGAGCGGCAUCCCGCGCGCGCCGCCCGUGGCGCCCUUCCAGAUGUGCUACCAGUCGUCCGCGUUAGGCUCCACCCGGCUCGGCCCCGCCGUGGCGAACAUCGACCUGACGCUCGACGGCGGCCGCAUCUGGCAGCUGCCCGGCGCCAAGUCGCUGGUCGGGGUGAACGACCAGACCUUCGCGUUCCUCGAGAUGGGGCCCGCGGCGGCGGUGCCCGAUUCGCCGGCGGUCAUCAUUGGGGGCUACCAGAUGGAGGACCACCUGAUGCUCUUCGAUCUGGAGAAAGGGACGCUCGGGCUCAGUGGACUGCUCCUCGGAAUCCGCACUACCUGUGGCAACUUCAUCUUCACCAUGGGAAGCUCGUAGAAGCGUGUCAACGCAGCAGCAGGAGUCCUUUGUUUUCCUUUUGCUCGAAGAGUUACAGUUACAGGUCAUGCCGUCACCGUUUGCUUUCCACGUUCCUACGAGACUAGACCUUUGUUUCAUUUCGGUGAGUCUCCUACUAGUCGACCUGUAAUGCAAUCGUUUGAUUGUCACGUUAGCAAUGGAAAUAAAAAUUGGUCAAUGAAAUCUUUUUACUUCCCUGUAUACUUCUUUUGUGGUAUGUCCUAUUAAAAGUGAUCUUUUCGUGCUAGCCACCAUUGACUUUUGAGUAUGACGUACGAUCAUUUAUAUAUGUUGUCAAAAAAUUUAGUGUGAACAUGCAAAAAAUAUGAAUCGUAUUUAAAGUACAUCAAAUAAAACAAGCCAAAAAAUAUAUUAUUUGCAUAAAUUUUUAAUAAGACGAACCCUUGAGGGGAUGGAAAAUUACAAGCAAGCUCUUUUGGGAUCCUUUCAGCCAACUUUGUCAUUAAUUAGAACAGCAGAACUUGAAGUUUGAAACUGAAUCCCAAUGGCGGAACGUGUCAGCAAUGUUGAUGUACACGACUUGUAACAUUUGGAAUUUUUGAGAGGACAUCGACAACAUCAUGGAGAUCGGCUUGAGGAAGACAACCAUGAGAGGGCUCUUAGAGCCGCAUUUUUCUUAAGAUUAGUCAUUACUUUGUUAGAGAACCGAUUUAUGUAAUAUCGACUAUGUAAGAACUUUCUUUCUUCUCCUGCUUAUAUAAUUUGGCAGUGCUCCUGCUGCCUUUGGUUAAAGAAAACGGAUGAAGUUUUGUCAAAGUUUUGAAACAGCUCCAAGAGAAGUCCAUCCCAUCAAACAAAACGAUGCAUUUCUUCUUCCUCUCCCUUCUUCCUUCUUUCCUCCGGGGGGCUCAGGCCCUCCAUUGGCCCGCAUGGAGUUAAGGUAGACAUAGCUUUAACUUGGGAGUCACUGGAGUUUAUGCUAGCGAAAGCACCUGCAUCAGAAAUGCUAGGGAGGAGGAGCAAAAUUCAAUGUGAUACCUUGCUAUUUGGUUACUGUAGAGAGAGAGGUGCAUAGGUAUUCAUAGUUAUUCACGUGAAUACUCAUAAUUUUGGACCAAGUUUUUACUAUAUACAUAGUUUCAAUGUUGUUCAUAUAUGUAUGAAGGCCCAGCCGUCACUAUCCCACCCGAGGAAUCUUGUUUUUUUUUACAAUGCAUACUAAAAUGAAAAUCUUGCCCACGUCGUAAUGGGGAAUGAAUAGUCAUAUACUUUUAGCUAUGAAAAUCCCGGGACUACGCUACUACCUAUUCCCUAUGACAAAUAAUGUUUGUCUAAAUUUAUAACGUCUGUCAAAUCAAGGACGCAACAUAUAAAAAUAUAUUCAUACUAGAUAUAAUGAUGCUAAUUUGAUGUUAUAAAUACUAUUGAUUUUUAUAACUAGUCCAUCAACCCAUGCUCCAACAUGAGCUAAUGUUUUUAGAAGCUAUUGUAUUUAAAAAUUAUUUAGAAAUUAAACUCCUAGCUAAUAAUCAAAAUUAUUUACCUACCGCUCUCUUAUUUUUCAAUACUUCAACAUAAUACUUAUAUAGAUAUAUACCUAUCUUUAUCCAGUUAUGAUUGAUUUUUAAUUAAUAAUUACUCUAUGCACAUUUUCAUCCAUAUUCGUACUUUUUCCAUUUUGUAUCACAUGUUCAAUCCUCAUACAUUAUGUUUAGCAUACAAAUCAAUAUUUUUCAUCGAUUCCUCACAUACAAUAAUAAAUGGUCUAAAUAGUGGCACUCACCAUAUGUAUAUACUUUAAAUUAGUAUUUUUAUAGUAACAAUGACAUAAAUAGGUAAUUUAGAAUCAUAUAUUAGUUUACUUUUUGUAUGAUGCACAUGAAGAUAAUUACCAUCACAAUGGUAUUCUCUAGAUGGAACUCACAAUUGUAUUCUGAGCCUGUCAUCAAUUACUUGCUAUCCGAGAUGCCCGAUGAUUUUUCUCCGCGCGUGAGGAACUGCAGGAUUGCCACGAUCGAAGAUCGAAGAUGGUCGGCGUUAGUUUAUCUCCGUGUGUGAGAGUCGGAGAUGGCCGGCGUUAGUUUAUCUCCGUGCGUGAGAGGCAGCUGUGUGAUUAUCCUGGUUUUAUCUAUUUCUAAUUUAUUUCUAAAUCAAUGGCUGUGAUUUUUUUAAAACUCCUACCUCGUAAUGGGACUAUUGCUUUUUAUAAUGUUAGUGGUGGGAAAUUUUGAUGCAAAUUUAGGGAGUUAUUUUAAUUUUUUUAUAAUGGUAUAAGUGAGUAAUUUAGAUGAAGAUUAGAGGUUACUUUAGUUAAUUUAUAUAAUGGCAGAGGUGGGUAAUUUAGAUAUGAAUCUAGAGGUUACUUUAUGCUAUUUUCAUAAUAGCAGAGGUGGAUAAUUUUUUUAGAAAACAUAAUAGAUCCAAUGGCUAUUAUGAUUUUAAUCUAUCGAAUUGAUGACUAGAUGUUUUAUUUUUUUGAGAGAAUUUUUAGGAUUUCUCUAUGUUUCUAGAGUGUCCACCUAGGAUCCUAGGUGGCUUCAUGUGGAGGCUUCAAAAGGAGCCUCCUGUUUACUUUAAGUUAUUUUUAAUAACGACAUACAUGGGUAAUAUAGAUAAAAUUUUAGAAUGACAUUUUAAGUUAUGCUUUAUAAUGAUGUGUAUUAGUAAAUUGGAUGAAGAUUAUGAUGUUAUUUUAGAUUAUUUUUUAUAAUAGCUAAGCUCGGUAAUUUAGAUAUAGGGUUAGAGCUCAUUUUUGAAUAUUUUCACGGUGGGUAACUUUUUAGAAAAUAUAAUAGAUCAAUGGCUAUGAUUAUUAGAGUUUACAGGAUUGGUGUUUGAUGUUUUUAAAUUUUAUGAGAAUUUAUCUCUUUUUUCUAGCUUGUCUCGUGGGAACUAAUGCGGAGUCUCCAAUGGAAAAAAAGAGACUACAUUGCUACAAAACUAUUACCAUAAGCUACCUCUCGUUUGUUAAAUAUUCGAACACAAUACUUAUGUAGAUACAUACUUAAUAUCUUCAUCCAAUUAUGAUAGAUUUUAGUUAGUAAUUACUCUAUAAUAUUUUCAACCACAUUUAUAAUCUUUAACUUUUCACUUUGCAUCACAGGUAUACACUUGAAAUUUGUUUAAUGAACUCUAAGUUUGAGAUACAAUUUUAGCAUAGAAAUCUAUAUUCUCAUCACUUUAUAUUCUUAUAGAUGGUAACACAUAUCAUGCGUAUAGACCUUAAUUGUUAUAUCGUAUACCAAUAGUAAAAGAUAUAUAGUAAAAGAUAUAGACGAUUUAGAAUCAUAUAUUGUUGUAUAUUUUUAAUUAAGGUUAUUUGAUUUAAAUGUAGGGUUACCUCAUGUUAUUUUUAAUAAUGGCAUGUGUGGGUAAUAUAGAUGCUAAUUUAAGGGGUUACUUUAAGUUUUAAGUUUUUUAAGUAAUAAUGGUAGGCAAUUCAAUUGCAAAUUAGAGGGUUAUUUUAAAUAUUGUUUAUAAUGGUAUAAGUGGGUAAUUUGGAUUGCUUUAGUUUAUUUUAUAUAAUGGUAGAUGUGGAUAAUUUAUAUAUAGAUUUAGGGGAUUACUUUAGGCUAUUUUCAUAAUGGCAUAGGUCGGUAAUUUUUUAGAAAACAUAAUAGAUCCAAUGACUAUGAUGAUUUGAAUCUAUUGAUUGAUGGUCGGAUGUUUUGCUUUUUUUUUUGAGAAUUUUCAGGAUUUCUCUCUUUUCGUAGAGUGUCCACCUAGAAAUCCUAGGUGACUUCACCUGGAAGUUUCGAAAGGAGCCUUCAAUUAGUAAUAGUAAGAUUGCGAGACUGAUCAACCGACACGUCAAACCAGCCUCCAUCGAGAUUAUUAUGGGCCUGUUUAGCUUCUACGUGCUAAAGUUUAGCACCUGUCACAUCAUCGGAUGUUUGGAUAGGAGUAUUAAAUAUAAGCUAAUUACAAAACUAAUUGCACAGAUGGAGUCUAAUUCGCGCUAAUUAAUCCAUCAUUAGUAAAUGGGUUCGCUUGACGAAUCUAUUAAGCCUCAUUAAUCUAUGAUUUGACAAUAUGGUGCUACAAUAACCAUUUGCUAAUGAUGGAUUAAUUAGUUUUAAUAGAUCGUCUCGCGAAUUAGCCUAGGGGUUCUACAAUUAAUUUUAUAAUUAGCUCAUAUUUAGUCCUUAUAAUUAGCAUCCGAACAUCCGAUAUGAUAUGGUUAAAGUUUAGCAACUAGUAUCAAACACCCUAUAUUAGAGAACACGGUUUCAACCAUGACAAUCUCCCUCUGCGGAGGAAUCCGGCUGAUCUUGAACCAAUCUGCAUGCGGUGGUCUCGUACUCGAAAAUCAUCUCAAGGUUCUUCGCAAGCCUGUCCUUGUGUUGAAGUUGAAGCUCUUGACACUCCCUGCUCAUAUAUCAAUCUCAGCGACACCUGGAUGAAGAUGAGAAUCGACGCCCCUGUUCGACGAAUACGAGCGAGCAGCGGCGGCAUCGAGCGUGCGGCUGCCGAUUUGGGCCGGCAAGGUAGCGAAUGAAGACAAGCGGCGGCGGACUCAAGCGACCGUCGAGCAAAUCAAGCGGAACGCCGGAGUAUCCACGCGCUGCGCUGGAGGGGGGAUAUGUUGCCUCGCUACUCCAGGGACCCGCUUGCUGGAGUGUUUUUUUUCUUCCUUUUGCCAUCGGUUCCUAAUUUUUGAGUAGAGGUUGAUCAGCAGGGGUCUUGCUGGAGCUGCUCUCAGAAGCUCUAAUGUACACUCAUAAAAUUAAUAUUAUAGAAAACCAUGAACACUCAUUUCUUUCUGAACAUGGACAAUAUGAUCCGUGCUGAUAGAAGGCAAGCUAAGAAUUGACAAAUACACACAACUCCAAUGAUUUACACUUUAGGGACGACGUUUCAGUUGCAGCACCGUACCCAAACGUACAAUACACACAGCUCCAAUAUGCUUUAGGGCCGGUCACUGCUAGCUCCAGAAAUUCUUACAGCAACAGUUGUUGUAACAGUAUUUAUUGAUUAAGAAACUCUAGUAUAUUCUUUUUAGUUUAGAUCACUUUAUAGUAUAGUAUCUUUAUAUAUAAACUCUAAAUCCUAUAUGCGUCUCCGAGCUGCAGGUGUGAGGAAUCAAUGUUGAGUGUAUGGCCGGCAUCCAGAAAUUCCCAGUGUGACUCCUCAUGCAUGCUCGAGCCACCAAAUAUCUAGCCCAUUGCAAAUGCAUGGAGAUGCCGGUUACAUUUCAACGACAUCGACCUCGGUGAUAUCCACGCUGGAGACGCCUUCGGGGCAGAGGAUUCCCGUCACUCUGGCCAUUUUGUGCUGUGGCAUCUGACUUAUCUUCAGCCGGUCCUCGUCGCUGAGUUCCCAGUCGAAGAUCUCGGUGUUCUCCUUGAGCCUCUCCUGUUUCCAGCUCUUCACCACCAUGCUUGCGCCUUGCUCGUAGAUCCAUCUCAGCGAAAUCUGAGGGGGAGAAUGUAUGCAUGCGGAUGAGAUGUCAGCCACGCUGCUAGCAUGAUGCUAACAAUGAUCCGAUCCAGUACUGUUAAUACACGAGUAAUUAAAUGGAUCACUAAACUGGGAUUACGAAGAAAUGCAGUCGAUACCUGAGCCACCGACUUCCCUCUAGCCUUCGCAAUCCCAUCUAGAACCUUAGACGGUAGUACUUUGGAUCUAAAUUGGCCUCCCAAGGGAGAAUAAGCAGUCACAUGAAUACCCUUAUCUUUGCAGAACUCAAUUAGUUUCCGCUGUUGCCAAGAUGGAUUUAAUUCGACCUGCAAAGUGUAGUCUCAUGCAUCAGUACCUCUGAUAUUGUGACAUGUGAGACAGUGUGGCUUGAGACUCGAGAACAGAGCCGACCGUGCAUUAGCACGUUUUUCAUUAAGAGGAGGAGAAAAGUUACAACCUAAGGAAAUGAUGAAACGGGCCGAGAUCUAGAGAAAAGAAAAGAAACACACACACACACAUACAUGUGCAGACAAUACAUUGCAAGGGCUGUGCGACCAAGGGGGAGAGCGCCGAAACUUCUGUGCAAGCGGCAGACUUGAGAACAGAGCCACAUACAAAUUAAGCAAAUAAGUUUUCAUCAAAUUGGCUCAAGCUCUACUGCUGCUAUAGUACAUAGUAGCAUUUUUGUUUUUAUUUUUGUAUGAAGUGUAAACAUAGUAAGAAAUAUUUUAACACAGUAAGAAAUGCUAGCACUAAAAAUAAGCGGAAGUUGUCUAGGAGUUGUAUAACAACAAAUAUUUUAACACAGUAAGAAAUGCUAACUAGUGUUUUGAACUAAACAGGUACGAUAUUUCUCGGUCGUCGUAUCAACAGUGAAAAAGAGAACGGCCAGGUGUGACUAUUCAUCAGUUGAUCAGCACGAACCUGAUUCACUGCUGGGGGGACAUUUGCGGUUGCAAGCAGCUCCUUGAGCUUCCUUGUCGUGAAAUUGCUAACGCCGAUCAUCUUAGCAAGGCCCAGGCGAUGGCAUUCCUCCAUUGCCUGCCAGACGCCGCCCAGGUCCAUCGGCACCAUGUCCUCCCUCUUCAUUGGGAAGUGGGGCUUGCUUGGUUUUACAGCCAUGGGCCAAUGGACCAGGUACAAAUCCACAUAUUCCAUUUGAAGGUUCCUACAGAUCGAUGAAGAGAUAAAUAAAGGAACCUUCCCUGAGCUUGACAUCAAAGCACAGCCUAUUUUUUGUGCAAUUGGUACUCCCAGCCGCCGCAGAAUCGAUUAGCAAUUUAGCAUUCUAAAGGAGAAGCGAACUCAAUUUUGACGAAAGCUUACUGCAAACUCUCCCUGAGGGAAGGGAGCACGAGCUCCGGGUGGCACUGCGUGCACCACACCUUGGUCGUCACGAACACCUCCUCCCUGGACGCCACGACACCGCGGCGCGCCGCCUCGGCCACGGCCUCGCCGACGGCCCGCUCGGAGCGGUAGAGCGAAGCGGUGUCGAGGUGGCGGUAGCCGAGCUCCAGCGCGGCGAGGACGGCGGCCCUGACAUCUUCCUCCACGAGCGGGAACGAUGCCGUGCCGAGCCCCACCGCCGGCACCGGCCGCCCGGCAGGGCCCGCUGGAAACUCUGGGAUCUUGGGGGAGCGAGCGCUGGCCAUCCGUGGUGGCGAUGCCAUGGGCGCCGGCGCGCCGCCGCCUGCGCGCUCUCCUUUCUCUGCUUGGUCAGCUGAUUCCACGGCCGUGCCGUCGGGCGAGGAGAGUUGACUGAACCGGGGGCUUCCAACGCAAUUACGAAAAAAAAAAUCCCAAAAGAAAACGAGCCUCAUGACUCGUGAGUCGCGCGAGACGUAUAAAAUAACCAUCGGGCCGGCAGGCAGGUAGUUACACAUUGGUUCCUUCACCGAGCACUGUGUUACCUCACCGAGCAACGAUAAAGAAUGAGCGUAGAGGUUUGGUUUUCUUGUCUGGGCACCUCAAAAUCUGUGUGGACGAGUUUUAGCUUGCUUCCGUGGAAGAGCAAAAUUAGCUCGGGCGAGCUCCUCGUUGCUCGCGAGGCAAGCAGAGAUUGAGAGAACAAAGGUGCCAGUUUCAAUCUGGCUGACAUGCGGUCGAACAGAUCGAGCCAACGAUUUGGGCAUCAUUCGGUGUAAGUUAGACAGCAUCACUCGGUUUUGUUUGGCAGAAUGCUGGCGAGUACGAUAAAUGGGCCACAAACGCGUGCGUUCAAGAAACAAAGCCCAAUUGACUACUCUCUCUAUCAAUAACUAUAAUUAAGUCCGGUAAAUCAAACUAUUUUAAAUUUGAUCAGAUGUCCCUUUUGAAACUUCCAGGUGAAGCCACCUAGAAUUCCUAGGUGGACACUCUAGAAAAAGAGAGAAAUCCUAGAAAUUCUUAAAAAAAGCAAAACAUCCGACCAUCAAUCGAUAGAUUCAAAUCAUCAUACCAUUGGAUCUAUUAUAUUUUUUUAAAAAAUUAUCCACCUAUACUAUUAUGAAAAUAGCCUAAAGUAACCUCCUAAAUCUAUAUAUAAAUUACCCACCUCUGCCAUUAUAUAAAAUAAACUAAAGUAACCUCUAAUCUUCAUCCAAAUUACCCACUUAUACCAUUAUAAAUAAUAUUUAAAAUACCCCCCUAAUUUGCAAUUGAAUUGCCUAAAAAACUUAAAGUAACCCCUUAAAUUAGUAUCUAUAUUACCCACACAUGCUAUUAUUAAAAAUAACAUGAGGUAAUCCUACAUUUAAAUCAAAUAACCUUAAUUAAAAAUAUACAACAUUAUAUGAUUCUAAAUCAUCUAUAUCUUCCACUAUUGGUAUACGAUAUAACAAUUAAGGUCUAUACGCAUAAUGUGUGUCACCAUUUAUAAGGAUAUAAAGUGAUGAGAAUAUAGAUUUCUAUGCUUAAAUUGUGUCUCAAACUUAGGGUUCAUUAAACAAAUUCAAGCACAUAUCUGUGAUGCAAAGUGAAAAGUUAAAUAUUAUAAAUGUGGUUGAAAAUAUUAUAGAGUAACUAACUAAAAUCUAUCACAAUUGGAUGAAGAUAUUAAGUAUAUAUCUAAAUAAGUAUUGUGUUCAAAUAUUUAACAAACGAGAGGUAGCUUAUGGAAAUAGUUUUGUAGUAAUGUAGUCUCAUUUUUUUUCAUUGGAGACUCCGCAUUAGUUCCCAUGAGACAAGCUAGAAAAAAGAGACAAAUUCUCAUAAAAAUUUAAAACAUCAAACACCAAUCCUGUAAACUCUAAUAAUCAUAGCCAUUGAUCUAUUAUAUUUUCUAAAAAGUUACCCACCAUUGUCAUUGUGAAAAUAUUAAAAAAUGAGCUCUAAACCUAUCUAUAAAUUACCGAGCUCAGCUAUUAUAAAAAAUAAUCUAAAAUAACCCCAUAAUUUUCAUCCAAUUUACUAAUACACAUCAUUAUAAAGAAUAACUUAAAAUGUCAUUCUAAAAUUUAAUCUAUAUUACCCAUGUGUGUCGUUAUUAAAAAUAACCUAAAGUGAACAGGAGCCUUCUUUUGAAGCCUCCACACGAAGCCACCUAGGAUCCUAGGUGGACACUCUAGAAAAAUGGAGAAAUCCUAGAAAUUCUCUCAAAAAAACAAAACAUCUGGCCAUCAAUUCGAUAAAUUAAAAUCAUAAUAGCCAUUGGAUCUAUUAUGUUUUGUAAAAAAUUACCCACCUCUGCCAUUAGAAAAAUAGCAUAAAGUAACCCCUAGAUUCAUAUCUAAAUUACCCACCUCUGCCAUUAUAUAAAUUAACUAAAGUAACCUCUAAUCUUCAUCUAAAUUACUCACCUAUACCAUUAUGAAAAAAUAAAAUAACUCCCUAAAUUUGCAUCAAAAUUGCCCACCACUAACAUUAUAAAAAGCAAUAGUCCAAUUACCCAUAUGAGGUAGGAGUUUUAAAAAAAAUCACACCCAUUGAUUUAAUUAAAAAAAUCAGAAAUGGAUAAAAUCACGAUAAUCACAGAGCUGCCUCUCACGCACGGAGAUAAACUAGCGCCGGCCAUCUCCGAUCGUGGCAAUCCUGCAGUUCCUCGCGCGCGGAGAAAAAUCAUCGGGCAUCUCGGAUAGCAAGUAAUUGAUGACAGGCUUAGCAUAUGCAGUUUCAUGUAGAGAAUAUAAUUGUGAGUUCCAUCUAGAGAAUACCAUUGUGAUGGUACAGAAAUAUCAAAGAGUAAACUAAUAUAUAAUUCUAAAUUAUCUAUUUAUGUCCUUGUUAAUAUAAAAAUACUAAUUUAAAGUAUAUACACAUGAUAAGUGCCACCAUUUAGACUAUUUAUACAUGUAUGUGAGGAAUCGAUGAAAAAUAUUGAUUUGUAUGCUAAACAUAAUGUAUGGAGGAUUGGAGGUGUGAUACAAAAUGGAAAAAGUACGAAUAUGGAUAAAAACGUGCAUAGAGUAAUUAUUAAUUAAAAAUCAAUCAUAACUGGACAAAAUAGGUACAUAUAUAAGUAUUACGUUGAAGUAUUGAAAAAUAAGAGAGUAGUAGAUAAACAAUUUUGAUUAUUAGUUAGGAGUUUAAUUUCUAAAUAAUUUCCAAAUACAAUACCUUCUAAAAACAUUAGCUCGUGUAGGAGUAUGGGUUGAUGGACUAAUGGGAGUACGGGUUGAUCGACGUCCUAAUUAGGGAUAAGUCAGACAAUGAAUUUAUAUUGCGUGGUCAGCUACCGUACGUUCUAGCUCUGCUUACGUACGUUGCGCGAUCGCCAACACAAUGGCGCAAUGCGGCUCUGGAAGCCUGCAUGCGAAACACGAGACUCGGGUGGACUAGCAGCCUGCCGGCUAGCUGCCGCUCUUAAGUUCCGAGGGAAGGCUGGUCAUCGCGGCACGCGAACCUGCUCUGCACCCACACGCAACAAGUGCCACGCGACGCACCAGCGCACCUGCAGGCGUGCGGGCGGAGGCUACACAUGGCCUCGGCGGGCAGGACGGCCACUGCGGCGGCGGUGCCGGAGGAUGUGCCCCUACGUUCCAGCGCCGCGAGGCCGAUGCCGGCCGUCGGAAUGGGCACGGCGUCGCCGACCCCCGUGGCGCACGAGGCCACCAAGGAGGCGGUGCUGGCGGCCAUCGAGGUGGGGUUCCGCCACCUCGACACCGCCUGCAUGUACGGCACGGAGAGGCCGCUCGGCGAGGCCGUGGCGGAGGCGGUGCGGCGCGGGCUCGUCCAGUCCCGGGAGGAGCUGUUCGUCACCUCCAAGCUGUGGUGCACGCAGAACCACCCGGACCUCGUGCUCCCCUCCCUCCGGGAGACCCUCAAGUAAGAUUAUUCCCGGGCCGAUUGAUGUGAAAUUUCUGAAAACUAAUCUUUCCUCGUGCGUGCCGUGGGAGCAGGAACCUGCAGAUGGAGUACCUGGACCUGUACCUGAUCCACUGGCCGGUCUCCAUCAAGCCCAUGCCAAUAACUUUCCCGAACAAGAAGGAGGACGCCGUGCCGUUCGACGUCGAGGGCGUGUGGCGCGCGAUGGAGGAGUGCCAGCGUCUGGGCCUUGCCAAGGCGAUCGGCGUCAGCAACUUCACCACCAGGCACCUCGACAAGCUCCUGGCCGUCGCCACCAUCCCUCCCGCCGUGAACCAGGUGGAGCUGAACCCGGCGUGGCAGCAGCGCACGCUGAGGGCCUACUGCGCCGAGAAGGGCAUCCACGUCGCGGCGUACUCGCCGCUGGGAGGUCAGAACUGGUCCGGAUCCGGGGAAGGCAACGCCGUGCUGGAGUCCGAGGUGCUCGCGGAGAUAGCCAAAGCAAGAGGGAAAACCGUGGCACAGGUACGCGGCUAGUCCAUGUUGACUUCGUUCAUCGUCAUCCCUGAAGUGCGGCGGCGCUCCGAUCCGGUUGUUUGGUCCACGACUCCAUGCUUCGUUUUCACUUGCCUACUCAAUGUUGUCCAGGACCCUAUAAUUUUUUGUUGAGACUGAUAGGGUAACUGCCGCCGCCGCUUGUACAGCGUCAUUGCUAGCUCUGGUCUUUGUUCUAUCCCUUUGUGUUAAAUAUUCUCCUUUGUAACACCACUAUUCCCUCUCAGGUGUCGUUGAGAUGGACACAUGAGCAGGGAGUGACUUGGAUCGUCAAGAGCUACAACAAGGAGAGGCUCGAGGAAAACAUCGACAUCUUCGGCUGGGAGCUGACCGAUGAAGACCGGCACAAGAUCAGCCAGAUCCCGCAGAAGAAGUGUGUCACGGCUACAGCCCUGUUCUCGCCGGAGGGCGAGUUCCCGUCGGUUGGUCUUUCGGACAUGGACAUUGUAGAGGAAUAGGUAUACCGAUGAAGGAAAAUGGCCUGCCUUUGUGUCUCUACAUCUGAAUAAAAAAAGUCCACUGAUGUGUUCAUGCCCUUCACUUCGUCCUACUGAAAUCUGGUGACGCUGACAGUUCAGUAAAGAUUGUAACCGCCGCCAUUUUCGGACGUGCACACAUCUGGGCGUUUGUGUGGCCCAUUUAGGGCGGACAGCCGUUUGUCUAAACUGGGCUAGGCUUCUCGGAGAAUCCAGCCCAAAAUCACAGAGCUCGUGCGUGUGCGUGCUACUCGGACAGUACUGGUCUGGUAGUUUUCUGACUGAAAUUGGGACAGUUUCGUUCACUUUUGUCCUCCUUUGUUUAAAAUCAUAAACUUUCAUAGAGAACAGGAGGCCUCACAUUCAAAUUACUGCUAACCCAUGUCAAUUCUCAAACAAGGCUUGUGGAGCGUAGGCUCCACAUGGACCACAUACAUUCACAACCAUCCUCACAUUCAGACCACAGGUCAACAACUCAACAAACAAGUUAGUUCCGUUCCAGAAUGCACUUAUCAAACCAAAUGGUAACAACUAGCCAAGCACACACCAGAGUUUUCUUAAGUCUGCGGCAACACUGCAUCUUACAUCAGACUAAACAUUUCAAUGAGCUGACUGCAUAGAAAAAAAAUAUUCUAGCCGGUAAAUUUGAUCACUUCGACUGAAAAGGAAUAGCUAGCCAAGCACAGGUCCAAUGCAGCAUCCACCUUCUGGCUUCUAGUCAGAACUCAGAACCAGCAGCAUGGCACAAAAGCAUCUAGAACGUGCAGCUUAUUCAAAUGCAUCUAGAACAUGCAGCUUAUUCAAAUCCCUGCAAUCAGAUUAAGAGUGAGAAAUCAUGAUUGCCACACUAGCUAAACCAUUAAGCUCAAAGCUGUAUAUGAUUGGGGGGAAAAAGUGAAAGUUGGACAUACAAUCUGUUUGCUUUGGAGCUAUAGGUGUGGUGUGCAACACUAUGGAAACAAAUAUGUGGAUCCUUAAUGCUCGCAUCAUGAUCAUAUAGUUAGGGGAAAGUCCAUACUGCUCAAACUAUCCAAAGAUCAACUCCUACAGUCUCAACUACGAACUGGUUGAGUUAUCCCCUAGUUGUAGCUACGAAGAAAAGGAACAUUGUACUUUGCAUAAAUCACCGAAUCUUGGGAUAUAGAUUAACUGAUUUAGUGCUACUAGCCAACCAUUGAUUGUGCAUGCUUUACAAUAUUGACAGUGGUUGCUAAAAUGAUGGAAAUCAUCCUUUCUCAUAUCACCAACAGGCAAAAGGUAGCAACCAUGACUGUUGUUUAAACCACAUAAAGCGAACCCAGAAAUCAAAAGGUCAUGCAUGCACACUAUAAAAAAAAACAAGUGAAACACUUGCUGUUCUCAUCCAGGAUGGCUAUCUACAUUUUUUUUAUAAGGGAUGGUUCUCUACAUUUAAAAUUAUAACUACGAGUUUACUGAGCUAUGCAGAUAAUUGGAAAGGCAUUACUAUAGUCUAUGUGUCGGUGUUUUAUAUCCGGCAACCUACCGAGGGGUAUCCCGAGGUAGUAGAUUGGUCGGUGGGGGAUCGCCGGAUCUGGAAGUUGAUGGUAAAAGCGAGGACACAAAACACAUAUUUAUACAGGCUCGGGCCACCAAAGUAGCGUAAUACCCUACGUCCUAUUUGGGGUGUUGUAUAUUGCGCCCUGUACUUGCGUGUUGUUUGGUGUUGAGGAUUUGGUCCUCUGUUAUGGUUCUAUGUGAUCUUCGUCUACCGAUCUAGGGACCCAUGCCCUCCUUUAUAUACUUAGGGGGUGGGAUUCCUAGGAGUUCUAGUAAGGUUACAGGGUAUGAGUCUUAGUAGGAUUAUAGGGGAAUCCUAGUAGGAGUCCGUCUUCUUCCUUCCUUGCGGGUAUUGGGGAUUUAUCCCCGACAAGCCCCCAAGCGCUUUAUAGUCGAAUGCAGCAGUCUCCGAGUACUUUUCAGAUCCUCGUCGAGUAGUUUAGUGCUUCUCGAGUACUUUGUCUGGCUGAAUCUUCAAAGUUCUUCAAAGUUGCCAUGAAGCUAUGGUGCACUCAAGCCCUUGAUCAUCUUGAUUUUGUAAUCUUCAUCUUUGCUGACAUGGAGGGCAGCGGAAGUCGCACUCCAUAUGGAGUAUCCUCCGAAUCUUAGGUUGAAUCGAAAAAUCAGGCUGAGGGUCAAUAAAAUCUUGAAUCUUCUUUCAUCUUGAAAAAAUCAACUAUUCGGUGUAGCUUAUCAACCCCGAGCCUUGAAAUGAUUAAAUAAUCAAUCUAAGGGUCUAGAGAGUAGUUUUGCGGUGUCACGCAAGUCAUCAUCUAAGUAGUUUUGUGGCGUCCAACACCGAGCUUUUAGGCCAGGUGAGCUGUAGGAGCCAUGUUGAGUAGUUAUUGGCGCCCAGCCCGAGCCACUAGAGGUAUUCUGAGUAGUAAUUGGCGCUUAGCCUCCAAGUUUGGAAGCUACCUGAGCUAUUGGAGGUACGCUGAGCAUCCUGGAGAGUCGACUCUGAAGCUUGACUUGAAAAAGAGAUGCAUACAUUAUAUAGCAUAUUUGUAGAAUACUGAAACUACUGAAAUUUAUUUAGUGAUAAAUGUAAAUAUUUUGUGUCGUGCUCUUGUUUUGGUCAUAUUUCUCCUAAGUAGUUAGCCUGUUACGUUUAGACUCUCAGUCCCUGUUUAGCCAUUGCCUCUGCGUGUGAGAUCUUUGUCUCGUGUACGCGUAUUGACACUGCUUCUACGCGUUUGAGAUCUCUGUCUCGUGUACAAGUCCUAGCAUUUAGGCAUGACAGAAGAUCCGAGGCUUUCACAUAUUAAGGCGUGUUCUACUCGAGAACAUUAGUGACCAUUAAGAGUAGAUAUUGAAAAUAAGUAGUCAACAUUGCAACAAAAAGACUGCAUGAUUACACAUAGAGAGUUUUCUUUCCUUCGGCGAGGAGAGCGUGUGUUGUUGCACACAUGAUUUGUACCUCCUUAGGGUGUAGCCGUUGUGCGCCUUCAGCACUCAGUGCACUAAAUCCGUGGCCAUAGCGUCCGAAAUUUGAUGUACCAAGUCUGUUGGCGGAGCUUCCAGAACUCAGUACACAAAACUCGUGGCUAUAGCCUCCGUAAUUCGGUGUACCAAGCCCAUUGCUGUCGGUUAACAUGCCCCAGAAAUAAUUAGCAAAGUGUAGCUCUGGAGGGUAAUUUCUAUCGAGAGGUGUACACAAAAAAGUACUCGGCGCAUUGCCCUGCAUGCGGAAAACAAGCCGAAAAAAUUAUUGAAAUAAUUAGAAAAUGUGACUUAGCUUGAUUCAUGGACGAUUGUCGAUGAAGCUGCGGCAGUCAUCGAUGAAAUCGCGAUGGUUGUUGAUGAAGCCGACUAGUCGGAGUCGAUUUUGACUGGUUGUCGAUGGUGUGAAGCCUGCUCCGACUAAUUUUUAGUCAAGAUGAGUAGUUUCGCUGGCGUGUACAACUCUUGUGUGCAUCCCGCCAAGAGCUUGGCACCUUAUGGUACGUAGUUGGUGCACUCGUAGUGGAUUUACACCAAAUUUGACGUCAGUCUGAACUUGCGUGCGAUGCUUGAAUAGGUUGUGAGAUGAUCUUGCUGCUAGGAAAAUACAGAACCGUACUCCGACUUAGCCCUCGAGUAGAAAAAUUGCAUCGGCUAGCUAUUACUGAUCGACUCGGAUGCGGAGUCCAGGAAGUUGAUCUCAUGGUGGCGCGACGAAUCCAGUCAAAGCUCGCGGUAAAGAUAGCGGUGUUGUUACACUGAAUAUAUUAAUCUUAAUAACAGAGGGUCCUUCAAGCUCACCCCGUGAUCUUGACAAUCACCCCUACCUGGCACACCAGAUGUCGGUGUUUUAUACCCGGCAACCUACCCAGGAGUAUCCUGAGGUAGUAAAUUGGUCGGUGGGGAAUCGCCAGACCUGAAACUUGAUGGUAAAAGCGAGGACACAAGACACAAAUUUAUGUAGGUUCGGGCCACCAUAGUAGCGUAAUACCCUACGUCCUAUUUGGAACGUUGUAUAUUGCACCCUGCGCUUGCGUGUUGUUUGAUGUUGAGGAUUUGGUCAUCUGUUAUGGUUCUAUGAGGUCUUCGCCUACCGAUCUAGGAACUCAUGCCCUUCUUUAUAUAUCCGGGGGACGGGAUUACUAGUCGGUUAUAAGGUGAGAGUCAUAGUAGGAUUACAUGGUAUGAGUCAUUACAAGGGAAUUCUAGUAUGAGUCCGUCUUCUUUCUUUCUUGCGGAUACUAGGGAUCUAUUCCUGACACUAUGGAGCAAGGGAUCAAGGCACGGUCAAAUACAAAUUAUAAUGAAACUUAAAUUAGAUUUCAGAAAAUAGUAAUGCACUGUUGAGCAAGACAUAAAGCAAAUAAAGAGUUAUCUAUAACACCACUAAAGACUAUUAAAACAAUUUGUGUCGGUGCAAUUGCAACAAGCUAUCUAUACAUCUUAAUAAACUGGCAGCCAAACACCUUUAAAAUCCCAAAUAGUCGGUUCAUCACAUAGGAGAUCCCAACGCUAGCAAAAAGGAGGCUGCAAGCAAAAACUAGGAGGGCCACCUUACCACUUCAUAUAGUUGGUGAUGCCAAUGAUGGUGGGUAACCGGUAUACGGGGCUGGCAGGGCACGAUCACCUUCACCACCGACAAGCCCCUGUCGGACCUUCUGAAACUGCGAAGUCUUGAAAUCAAAUGACAUACACGAAAAUUGUCCUGAAGAACUAACAUGUUCUCGCCCUCCUUGGAGUAGUAAUGUCCCAUCAGGUGCGGUUGUCGCUUUUUGUAUGACCGGACGCACGCAUGACCCACCGCUUUCAGCCUAAUAAUUACUUAAUUAGGGUAUGAAAAAGCAUGAAAAUGCACCGUGAAUACAAAAGUUAGUGGAGAGAGCGUGUAAAAAAAGACGAAAAUGAUGAUGUGAUUCACGUGCAAAUCUAAAAACUAAAAAAGUCAUAACUCCUAAACCAAACAUCCAAAUUAAAUUAAAUUUAAGUUACACCAUCAUGUUUAUUACGACGAGAUCUUCAAAACAAAACCCCACUUGACUAUGUUUGGAUAAUAUUUAAAAAAAUAUUUUUUAACAUACGGAUUAAUUAGUUCUAACUAAUGCAAACAAAUGCUUGAACAUCACGAACAAAUUACUAUUUCCUACGAACAAAAAAUGGUACGAUGCGAAGAAAAAUAUGGAACAUCACGAACAUUUGAUUGUGUAGGACAGAAAAAAACUGAAUCAUCGUGAAUAAAUAAAUCCAUGUCAUCAAACAACUUAAUCUACAAAACCAAACAAAUAAUUUAGAAUAAAUCAGUCUAAAUAACUAGAAUCACAUGCAAACUAGUUAUUAUUAUAGACGAAUAAUUGAGUUUAUAUGGUGACCAAAUAUUAUACCAUCAUGAACAAAUAUUAUAAUAUCACGAACAAAUUAUUUUUACUGUCAAACAAUUCAGUAUAUAAAGCGAACAAAUAUUUUAACAUUAAGAACAAAUAAAUCUAUAAAUGUGAACAAAAUGCAUAAACACGUGAAUAGAUAAUUUUAUAUAGCGAACAUAUACAUCCACAUUACAAAUAAAUUAUUUUUGUACAAGAAUAAAAAUAAAACUGAAUACAAAAGGAAAAUAUAAAUAUAAAUUAAUAAAUAAUAAAUAUAAGGGUGAAAAAUAAAAACAAAAUAAAUAUAAUUUUGCAUGUCACUUUUGUUUGCAUUAUAUUAUUAUUUGUACAUCUAUUUUAUUUGCAUCAUCAACCUUCCUAUUUGUAAUAGUCAAUGUUGUUCAAUAUUUUAUUCGCUGCUUAUAAUCAUUUGUUCACCAUGUUAUUUUUUUCGCAUGAGAUAAUUACCUGUUCUAUAUUUGUUUGGUGCAAUCAAAAUUAAUAUUGAGUAUUAUAAAAAUAUUUUUUUUAAAUAUUUCAUCGAAACAUAGUCAAGUGGGGUUUUAUCUUGAAGACUCAUCGGUGGAAUCAGAAUUUAAUUUAGAUAUACGGUUUAACAUCUAUAGAUUUUUUAAUUGAAACUUUCUUUGCAUGUGGUGUAAUGUCAUUAAUUUCGUCCUCUAUAGCAUCUAUAGCAUGCUUGCACGGCUUAUCUUCUUUUUCAAGCUGGCGCCCAUGAGACGAAUAAUGCGUGUCCCAUCAGCAUCACCAAUAAUGCGAGGCCGAUGCCCCUAAGACGAAGGCAGGGGAACUUCGUAUUUUAAAACGCACUGGCUGGCAUCCUCACCAUGGCUUUGCCCAUUUGCACAAAAGUGUUGCAAUAGUCCACUUCCGUUCCUUUGAGCAACUAAGAACAUGCCUCGUCUGCUUUCCCCUAACUCAACGAUAGCAAAUUCACUAAACCUGCAGCAAGGCUCAGGCAGAGAAUUGAUGGAGGAGAAUUCCAUAGUGCUCAUGUCGAGUACAAGCAACUUGAAGACUGGUAACAGAUUCGAUAGGCACCAGUAGAAGCAGCCAUAUGCGUAUAGUAGCCGCCAGGUAACAGGCAUCGGUACUGCAUCAGAGCAGGCAUGUUAGGGUCCAGAUCGCACGAGCUGGGAGAUGAUAUGGCUCGCCACUGCCUGCUGGCAGAGGAGAAGACGAACGCGACCAGCUUAGACGCGCACUGGGCUAUCCAGAUCACCCUAAAUGGCUGUGGCUGCCCCGCAGCAGCAGCAGCCGCCGCCUCCUCCGUCGCCGCAGGGAGCGAGUAAGACAUCGGAUCUGCGUUUACUGGGCGCAAGCCUGGAAACGGAGCACCCAGUGGUAAUGGGCUGCUGGACGGCGGCUGCAAGGUCUUCAGGGAUCGGAGGAAGAAGCACGUAGCGCCGGAACAAGGGGUCGCAAACCGCCAGCGUCGUGAAGGCUGCGUCAUUGCCCUCACCGUAGUCGACAAGGAAGCGGCCGCGCGAACGUAUCGGACUACCCAGAAGCCCGGGUUGGGGAGGAACGAGAAUCGGAAGUCGGCGGCCCCGGCGAGCGCGCGGGCGGCUGCCGCCGACGGGUGGGGCGGAUCCACCUGCCGGAAGCUUCCGAAGAAGGUGCGGAAGCCGAGGAGGGAGGGCGGGUGGAGCGCAUGCAGGCGGCGGAGGAAGGAGGGGCUGGUGAUGACGCGGCGGAAGGCGGCGCAGGACGCGCAUGCGCGGCCGAGGUCGGCGAGCGGGAGCAGGAUGAGGAUCGCGCCGAGGAGGUCGUCGGUGAGGUUCAGCACCUCACCUGCUGGCGGCGCCAUAGCGAAUCGCGGUGGCCGGUGGCCGGUGAGGCGACGUGGGAAUCGGGAGUGAGGUUCUGGCGAGGGGGAUCGGCCAACUCGGCCCUCCUCGACAGCACCCGUCAAACUCCUCUCGCAGGCCGGCCGAGUGGCCCAUCUCAGCCCACGAAACCCCGCCAAACUCAGUCCCAGACUCCCAGGCCGCUACGCCGUGAAGCCAGCCAGCCCACCAUGAUCUUGAGUCUUCUUGACUCCUGACGAAACGGCUCCUCCCUAUACGCACAAUCCAGCGAGGUGCGGCACCUCGGCAACAGACCGCUCCGAUGUGGCCGUAGCCGACCUAGAGCGCGGCGAGUAGGCCGCGACGUGGAUGCCCUUCUCGGCGCAGUAAGUAACCCCUCAGUGUCCGCUGCUGCCACACGCCCUCUCGAAGUCGAACGGCAUGGCGUCCUCCUUCUUGGCCGGGAACGAUGGCGGCACGGGCUUUGAUGCAGACAGGCCAGUGGAUCAGGUACAGGUCCAGGUACUCCAUCAGUCCAUCUGCAGCUGCAGGUUUCUACAUGCUCUCACACGUUAUAUCAUUAUCUAGAGGAGAUGUUAAGGUGAUCGCGGACUAAAUGGUUUUGAUUUUUAAUUGCAAAUUUUGCAAGUGCUACGGACGGGGGUUUGGCGGAGGUCCGGGAGCACGAGGGCCGAAUGGUACUGCGUGCACCACAGCUUGGACGUGACGAACAUCUCCUCCCGGGACGCAACGCGCCCGCGCCGCACCGCCUCGGCCACGGCGUCGCCGAGCGGCUUCUCCGUGCCGUACAUGUAGGCGGUGUCGAAGUGGCGGUAGCCCACCUCGAUGGCAGCCAGCACGGCGUUCUAGCUUGGUGGCCUCGGGCACCAGGGGGGAUGCCGCCGUGCCCAUGCCGACCGCCGGCAUCAGCCUCGCGUUGCCCGACCGAAGCGCCACCUCUGGCACCGCCGCGGCCGUCCCAUUCGACGCCAUACCGAUGCGCCUCUCGAAUGGAGAGUUCUUGAGGAUGCUGCUUGGCGUGCUAAUUUAACGCAGGCCAGAGAGGGUUUGACAUCAGGUCUUGCGGCUUGCUGCACUUGGUUACACGUACUUUCGCUUUCUCGUAGUAGGUGAUGUCAACUGUCAAGCACUCAUGAACAACCCAGUCGUUGAUCAGGGAAAGGUCAUUUUUGAGUAGUUCCUUUGGUAGCGCGUUUGUAAUAUUCGAUCAAUCAUUCUCCUGAAAGAUGCUUGAGAGAAGAAUACAAAAGAAGCGAUGAACCAGAGUGAGGUUGUGAGUUGUGACACCAUUUGAUGGCGACUGCACACCAUCAUCACUUUGGUUGCUUUUACAUAGUUCGUCAAACACUUCUUUAGUGCGACUAUCAUGGCUCCAUGGAAACACGUGCUCUGGAAGCUUCAGAAAGAAUGCCAACACGGAAGCAUCACUGUUGGAACGUAUCCAGUGGUGCACUGCUCCCCACGGCACCGCAGACGGCACCAGUACGUGCAUAGCGCGCUGCACUGCUAACAGAUACAAUAAAAACCGAGGCUUAUCUAGUUAUCUUGUACGGACUAGUAGGUUGUUGCCGGGCUGUGACCUAUGAGCAGAGCAACGCACGAUCUAGUGCCGGACGGGGAGCACUACAGCACGGUAUGGUUUGCAUGAUACUAGAAGAACGGACCUUCGAUGAAACAACAAAAUCAGCGCGUUCGGCUGGGCUUUUUGACGCGGCUAGCCCAGCCGUUUGGCUGCCCAUUUGCAGCCGUUCGGCUGCCCUCAAUCUCCUACCAACGAUCUCGCCUUGUUUUCUCUCUUAUUCCGUUCCCACAUCACAAACUCUACUCUCCCUCUCACCCGCUCUCCCUCUAGCCCGCUCUCCGCCGCCGUCGCUCCCUCCGUCUCCAUCCCCAGCGUCGCUCCCCUCCGUCUUGUCGGCCGAGGCACAAGUCGGCCGUCCGAAAUCCAUCUCGCCGCCUGCACUGUCUCCAUCGGGCCACCUCCCGCCGUCUUCACCGUGUCUGGGCUCGCGGCGGCUAUCGUCUCCACCGCGCCACCUCCCGCCUGCCGACUCAAGCAAGAGGGUCUCUCUCAAAUCUCGCAGACGCCACAUCCAGGCCGUGCCGCCGCCAUUGCCCGAGGACGCCCCCGAUUUAGAUCCAGGUAACCCCCAUGUUUCAGUUACUGCAAUAUUUUUGUAGCUUAGAACAACUGGGUUUGUUUACAAAUGAUGAGGAUAUUACACUAUUUUGUGUGUUGCAUUUAUUGUUUGCAUCCGAAGGCGCACAUGUUGCAAGCCCAAGCCUCGUUUAUGUUCGAUUCGAGUUCGUUUGCUUACUUUCAAUUUUAUGAUUGAGUGUGGGACAUCUCUGAACCUUUGUAGCAUCUAUAGGGUUGGUUCUAGUAUCAGGGUGCUGACCUUUUGUAUUUCUACCUUUUAUCUUCUCUAAAUUUUGUCAGCUUCACCUAGUUUCAUAUGUGCCAUGCUACUCUAUCCUAGUUUUAAUCUAUUUCAAGCUCUUUUGGUUGAAAUUGCCUGGAUAACCAGAAAUUUGGCUACUAUACUAUACUAUAAUCAUAGUAAAUGCUCUAUUCCUAGUACAAAUAAAUACUUUUUCAUAAUAAAUGCUGACAUAUACUUCUUUAAAUUUUUAUUGGAUUAAUAACUAAAUUCUGGUACUCUAUGGAAGUUUUAUUGAAUUAGUAACUAAAUUAUGGUACUCUAGCAGCUUCAAAUGCUACUGGUUUGGUGGAUUGAAAUGUGUAGUAUUUUUUUUGCUGAAAUAUACAAGUUAGCAUGAUUCUACAAUGUUGUUGUUGCACUGGUGCUUCACCAUUGUGCUACCUCAUGCUUUUGCUUGAUGCUAAUUUUUCAUCCAGCGUCAUGACAACACAGUUUCUAAAUUUCAGAUAUUUCCAUAUAGAAAGAGCAGCUCAUGUGUUUUCUCAUAACAAAAGAUCAAAUAUUUUGAUUUCCCUUCCCUGUUGAGGUCUUUGUUUGAUGUAAGUAGAACAUCCCAAACUUUAGGCAAGUUUUAUUGGAUUAGUAACUAAAUUCUGGUACUCAAGCAGCUUGAUAUGCUACUGGUUUGGUGAAUUGAAAUGUGUAGUAACUUGUUUCUGAAAUAUACAAGACACAUGUUUUACAUUGUUGUUGCUACACUAUUACCUCAUGGUUUUGCUUGCUGCUAAUUUUGACACAAACUUCUCUGAAUUUUUAUUGGAUUAGUAACUAAAUUUUGGUACAAUGUUGAGUGCAAAUUUGAAGCAUUGAUCUAACAAUAUUUUGUUUUGCCCAUAUGCAAUCCUCUGCAGCGAGCCUACUUCCAGUGCAUUGUUCCUUCGCAACGGUGCCCACACUGGAAUCGUCAUCCACUUCUUCGUGCUCUCCCCCACCAACUUGUCCAUACAAUCUCCGUUACAAACGCGCCAAGACAACUGCUAAGGCAAGUGACAUGUUCAUUACGUACUGAGUUUGUGUAUUUUUAUGUCUCCUGCAUUUUCUUCUUUGUUAAAAAAAUUGCAGCUCCUACCUACUCAAACUAUGCAUUGUACAACUGGGCUCAGAUGGCUAGCAGCCAUGCCAAUUGGGAUGAGGCGACAACAAAAACAUUCCUCGACCUCUGCAUUGCUGAGAAGAACCAACUGAUUGGAGCAACAAGUGCCUAAAUAAGUUGGGAUGACAACACGUCUACCGCAACUUCAAACAACAGACUGGUCUGACUUUAGACAGCAAGCAGCUGCAGAACAAACUGAGCACCAUGCGAAGGUCGUUCAUGAAUUGGAGGGACCUUCAAGUCCAAUCAGGCCUAGGCCGUGACGAACAUACUGGUGGUGUUGCAGCUGAUUCCAAUUUUUGGGCUACCGACGAAGGGGUACAUGCUGUCACCUUUGUAGUACUUCUUGUUUAUUCAAUUCGAGCAACAAUUUUUUUCUAACAUGUUCUUGCGUGACCGACAGGAAAUUAGUGCUGGUGCUGCCCAGACGAGUACUGCUAAACCACCAUCAUUCCUUGAAGAACUUUACACGUUGGUCGGCCACACCACCCAAGAUAGGGGGACCUUGCUAACUGCAGGAGGUGUCCAUGAGGCAACACCCAGUAUUGGGAGCGAGGACACUCCAGCAGACAUGUAUCUAGACCCCAUGGCUGCUAGCAGUGUUCGUAAUAUGUCUAAAAGGCUAACCUGGGAGGAAGUUGUUGACAGUCCUCCGAAAAAGAAGAGUGACAGCUUGGAGGACUACGUCAGAGAACUCUCUGAAACUGUAGCUAUGAGAAGCCAAAAACGUCUCAGCCGUGAGUAAGAGGAGCUGGACCUUGCAAUGCAGAUUUUAGAAGAAGAUGAUAUUGACGAGGGGUCUAAUCUGUACUGCAUGGCAAUAUAUUUAUGCAAGAAUGCAGUGAAUUGAAGGGCCUUCAUGAAGAUGAAAACCAAAGAGGGCCGCCUGCAUUGGAUCCAAUUCAACUGGGAGAGGGAGAACAAGUAGUGCAGUGUGGCAUUCGUUGGUUUUAUUGUAGUGUUGUGUACUGAUGGUUGAGAGCAAUGUCUUAGCAUGUAAUGUGGCCUCUGGCCUGAACAAUGUGUUGUGUGUGAUGUCUAAUUUUCCAAGUAAAAUGUGGUCCGUGAUUUGCAUUGCAUGUGCAUCUAUUUCAUUCAUACGUGAAAACGCAUGUGAUUUACAUUGCAUAUGCAUCUAUUGAAAGAAGUUUUAUCUUGCUUUUUAUUGUACCAGGAAUGCGUGGAGGACCAUUGAGGACCUAUUCAGCCAUCCAGGGAGGAGGACAAGGAAGCCAUAUUGACAGGUUUGAAACAGUUUGUUCUAUAACUUGUGGUGGAACUUUUACUUUAUAGCCUUAUGAUUGAACCAUUAAUGUCUAUUCCAUGCACAGAUUGCUUGCAUUAUGAGCAACGCUGAGGAAUCAAAUAGCGACACUGGCAGUGAUGCUAGCUCCAUCGUAUACCAGCUGGCGGGGGUAGCAGCAGCUGUAGCAGCAUAUGCAGCUGCGAGCAGAAGUCCAGCUCCUGUGUUGAACCCGCUCAUGGAGUUGCCACGAAUGACCGGAUGUCAAUGGGUUGAGCUGAAUAUGCGGGGAAGCUGGAGGUGCUACGACAAUUUUCGUAUGUAUCCUGAUGCAUUCCUUCAGUUGUAUGAUAUCUUAGUUAAUUAUCAUGGGCUGGAAUCAACACAAGGAGUCGAAUCUAUCGAGACUUUAGCUAUGUUUGUCUAGGCUUGUGGGACACAACAGGCUUCUAGACAAAUUAGAGAUAGAUUUGAGCGGUCAUUGGACACAGUUAGCAGGAAGAUGGCUCAUGUGGCAGAUGUCAUGUUCUCAUUCGCACAGACGGUUAUCGCUCCAAAGGACCCGUCGUACUCAAAGGUUAAUCAUAAGCUCAACCCAUAUGCACCGUUCUUUGAUGGGUGCAUAGGUGCUUUAUAUGGAACUCAUGUUCCCGUACAAAUUGGGCGUGGGUCACGUUUAGACUUCAUUAAUAGGAAAGGGUGGCCAAGCUUUAAUGUGUUAGCCAUAGUGGAUAUGGACAUGCUGUUCACAUAUGUAGGAGCGGGGAGGGCCGGGUCCAGUCAUGACAUGGCGGUGUUGAGAGACUGUAUGGAGACACCAAAUUACCCAAAUCCACCUCCAGGUACGUUAGUUGGCUAAUUACGUUCAUGAAGCAACAAUUGUAAAAGUGUAAUGUUUUAUGUUGUGUAGGAAGGUACUAUCUGGUGGACUCAGGUUAUACAGUUCGUGAAGGCUAUCUAGGACCAUAUCACAGUACGAGGUACCAUCUAGAGGAGUUCAGCCGCAGAGCGGCUGAAAGUUUGGAGGAGAAAUUCAACUUCCACCAUUCGAGUCUUCGCAAUGUUGUGGAAUAGGCAUUUGGCAUGCUCAAAUCGAGGUGGCAUAUUUUGCGAGAAGUACCAUUCUAUGAUCGAGAAAGGUAAACAAAGAUCAUUAUUACUUGCUUUGCACUCUACGAUUAUUUGUUGGACCAUGCCGAUGCAAGUACUGCAGAUAGGAACAUGGCGCGAACUUCGGAUUACGUCGUGUCCGCAUGAGUGGCAGCAAAUGCUACACCUGAUAUGGCAAGUGUAUGAGAUUGGAUUAUGGCAGGAAUCUCCUUGAUGUAGUUAACAGGUAUGACUGGUUUUGGAUUUGCUUCUAUACAAGUUUGCAUAGAUGUUGGUGAUGACUAAUGGCUAUACCAAAAUGGGUACAUGCAAGUGGUGAUAGCAAAUUUUGACAUUUAGGCAGCCAGGUAGUGGAAUUUGAGCAAACAGACCCUAACAAUGGUACUGGAUGCCUCGCUGUUACCUCCCUGUAAUGCUUUAUGUCUAUGUGUGUUUGUUUCUGCCAUAUGUUGUAUGUCAAGUAUUUUGUGCGGAAUUUUUUAUUGUAAUGAACGUAGAACAGCACUGAUUUAUUGACUAUUGAUAUGCUGAUGGCGGGUUAAUUUGAUUGGUUGGGUUGCGUUUGCGCCAAAAAAUUGAAAUCAAUUGUGCGCGUUCCCGCCAAAAAUUUGAAUUCAAUUGCGGCAUUUCGCAGUACAAGCCAGCUACAAAGAAGCAGUAGAUGCAGCGCAGCCAGAAGCAGCCAGCUGCAAAGCAGUAGCUAUUAUUCAAAAGGUAAUCCGGUAAAAGGAGAAUUUCUUGGCGAAGACGAGCACCAGCAUUUUCAUGAAGAGUUGCAAAAGGGAAAACAGAUUCAUCGAAGAUCACAUCACGGGUGAUAUACACACGCCCAGUGGAGAUAUCAAGACACUUGAAUCCUUUGUGAAUAGAACUAUAACCAAGAAAGGCACAUCUUUUUGAAUGAAAAGCAAGUUCUCUUGUGUUGAAUGGCCUAAGAUUUGGCCAACAUGCACACCCAAAGAUACGAAGGGAAGUAUAACUGGGUUUUUCCUGAAGAAGAAGCUCUACUGGCGCAUGAUAGUUGAUGACUUUGCUAGGUAAAAGGUUAAUCAAAUAGGUAGCGGUUAGAAAGGCUUCGUCCCAGAAUUUCAUGGGUAUGGAUGCAUUUACAAGAAGAGCAAGACCAACCUCUACUAUAUGCCUAUGUUUUCUUUCCGCGAAGCCAUUUUGUUGGUGUGCAUGAGGACAUGAAACUCGAUGAGAGAUGCCAAUUUUCUGGAAGAAAAAAUGCAAUCCCUCGUACUCUCCUCCCCAAUCCGUUUGCAUGGAUAGAAUCUUCCUAUUAAACUUGCGCUCAACAAGGUUUUGAAAGUUAUGGAAGAUUUGAAAAACUUUGGAUUUCUUCGAAGCAAAUAGAUCCAUGUAUAUUUACUAUAGUCAUCGAUGAAGCUUACAUAAUAUGUAUGUCUACCGACACAUUCUAGAGCUGGACCCCACACGUCCAAAUGGAUCAAUUGGAGAGGAAAAGUAGACAUAUUACUAGAAUUUGCAUAAGGUAAUUAAUGGCUCUUGGCUCUUUGACAAGGAUCACAAACUGAAUUAUUGCUAGUAUCAUCUAGGAAUGACAACUUAUUGUUCUUCAAAACAAGCUUAACAAUAGGGAAAGAUGGAUGACCCAAACGGCUAUGCCAUCUAUACAUGGACGGCUUAUUGACUCCAAACGCUACUUUAUUUGUGCUUGCUUCGGAAGAACUAGAAACUAGGGGAUAAAGACCUCCUUCACACCUGCCAUGAUGAAGAGUUUUCUUCGUUUCCCGGUCCUUGAUGAGGAAAAAAUUUGGAUGAAAUUUGAGGAAAAAAUUUGGAUGAAAUUGAAGGAAAAUAUUAUUAUCAGAGGCAAGAUAAUGAACUAAAGCAAGACUUUUAUGAGCGCUAGAAACAGGAAAAAUGUUUUUAAUAAAAGAUUGCGAGCUGGGUAUGUAAAGUUGAAUGACCAAUACUUCUAAUUUUCAUACCUGAACCAUUUGUUGUGUGUACUUGAUCUUGACCACCAUAUUUGUCACGUGCCGUCAUCUUGUCCAAUUCACUGGUAAUAUGAUCAGUCGCACCACUAUCCAUAUACCAGUUAGUGUCAACACCAUAUGCGGCCAAGCUUGACUUGUUGUUGUUUGAUGGCUGAAAAUCUUCUUCAAACCGAUGCCAACAUUCAAUAGCAGUAUGAUUGGUCCUGCCGCAUAUCUGACACCGGGGUCUAUUUAACUAUCCUCCGGACUUGAAGUUGUUGUUGUUGGAGUUGUUGCUGCUUGAAAAAUUACCGCGCCCUCCAGCACGGCCGCCUGACCCUCGCCCACGGUUUCCUCCAUGGCCACGAGGGUUGAAGCCUCCUCGACCUCUAGAAGCUAAAUUUGUCGAGGAUUGAUAGUGACCUCCUGAUCGUUGAUCAAACAUAUCCAAACGCAUCUCAUAGGCCAUGAUUUGAGCAUAGAGAUCAUUCAUAGAGAUUGGAUCUGACCGACCCAAAACAGAAGAAACAAUAGGAUUAUAUUCGAAAUCAAGACCGUUCAGAAUAUAGGAUAUCAUCCCAUCAUUGUCGAUAGGCUUCCCGGCAAUAGCAAUCUCAUCUCCGAUAGCCUUCAUCUUGUUGAAGUACGUCGCGAUGUUCAUGCUUCCCUUCUUGAGGCUUGCAAGUUGCAUCCGUAGAUUGGUUACUCGUGCACGUGAUUGUGCCGAGUACAUGUCUUCUAAUGCCGCCCAAACUUCGGACGACGAUGUCAACGUAGCUACUCGCGCCAACACUGUGGACGUUAGGGAGUUGACAAGAUGGACAAGUACCUGCUGGUCCUGCGCUAGCCAGAUCUUGUACGCUGGAUUGGAUACGACAUUCUUCUCGUCAUCUUGAAUUGUUUUCAGUGGUGCCGGGAUCGAGCCGUCAAGGAUGCCAAGAAGACGAGCACCCCUAAUCGGCGACAACACCUGGGCCUUCCAAAGAAUGAAGUUCUCUUGUGUGAGCUUCUCGGAGAUGGGCGGCCCGAGAGCACUUGAUGACGACGACGAGGAACUGGAGGCCAUAGCUGCGGCUUAGAUGUGUUUUGAGGAAGUAGCUCUGAUACCAUGAAAGAAACAAUGGUAACUAAGUGAACGUGGAUGCCUAUAUUGGCUAGCCUAUGGCUUCAUGCUAAUAUAUGGGAAAUUCCCAACAAAUUUCAAGAGUUUGAUUACAACAUGUGACACAAAAUAUAGUUGGUUUAAACCUUUCCUAUCUAUACAAUCAUCUAUCUGUAACUCAAGGUUUGACCAACAUAUCUAUGCAUCCAAACCAUCACUUUCAUUUGACGUGUUAACAUAAAACUCUUUUACAACCGAAAUAUUAUCUUUAACAUUGCCAAGCCUUCUUGAAAUUAUUCUCUUUUGUUAGAAACAAGAACACAUCAGUCGACUAAGCCAAGGCAGCAACCUCUCUUAGCCACCCUUUUCAUUUACCCUUUUUCCCUUUGUAGGAAUUACUUCAGAUCCUGGUGAAUUAGGCCAAUCUAGAGGAGUAUGAUCUUUGGUCAGAUACAUGGGGAUCCUAUGUUUUCUCAUCAACAAGGCAUGUUUCAUAAAAUAAAAUGGUUGUGCUACGCGAUAUAUGGUUUGCCCGACCGUAGGGCCACCUCCGACACUGCCGCCAUCGCCGCCAUCACAACAUCGCUGUGGAUUCCAUGCUAGCCGAUGUGCUCGAUCUGAAGGUUAGAUGUGUGUGUGUCUCCCUGCAAUUAUAUUGGGCGUCCUCGGUGUGAUGAGCCCGUGCCAGCCGGCCGCUUUAUGUAUCGCACUACACGGUGAAUUGAGGGCUGGUGGACAGGUGACAUGGAUGCGUUCGAAUCCUGACUUGCUGCAUUGGCUGAGCUUUUAGUACUAGGAUGGAGAGUUCUUUGUGAAUAAGAUGUUGCGCUGACUUGCUGACGUCACGCGUUACCCUUGCACUUGGUGAAACUUUCGUUUUUCCGUUACAAAGAAAUUAUACUUUUGCAGGUGAAUGCGUAACAGGUGAUGUCGUCAACCACUCAUGAAUGACACGGGCGUUGAUUAGGGCAAGGUCUUUUAGUUGUGCUUAGGAAGAAAAAGGUUUGCAUGUAAGAGACUCGUUCAAGAAGUCUCCUGCAGCUGCUUGACGAUGGUGAUUGCGCACCGGCAGUUUGGGAGGUUAGGGCCUCUUUGGACGUCACAUUUUAUAUGAUUGGAAUGUCUUGGCACCUUGAAUCCUAAUAUGUCAAACAUACCAUUUUGUAGAGCAUCUAGUGAUGAUAAAAGUAUAUAAACAGUGCCUCAAGCUAAAAAAGAAUAUAUGUUAAAAAAGCUAAAAAAGAAUAUACUUACACAACCAUUUGAGCUGAACAAAUUCUCCACCCCCGUGGUCCCUAUAGGUUGGACAAAGCCAUGGAGUUAGUGUUGGACAAAGCACCACGCAGUCAAUGUUAGGGCAUCUCCAACGGCCGGCUACGCCGCCAGCUGAAGAAAUUUUUUACGGAGCAAAGCGCAUGUCUCGCACGACUCCCGACAGCGUCUACCGCCGGAGACGAAGGGAAGCCGGCAGGGGGUGGGGGCGUCGAGGUGAUGGUCAAAGACGAGGACGAAGCAGCGGCGGUGGCACGUCGGAUCUAGCGUGCGCGUGUUGGACCAUGCUGGGCCGUGUGAUGCUUGGUCGUUCUAUCUUCCAUUCGAUUUAUAGAAGCCUCAAAAUAGUGGGCAUGGUGGAAGAAAACGAAGCAAAACUCUCUGUCAUAUCUGGAAAAAACAGCGACAUUCAGAGAAGAAAUACUAGUACUAGCCAGCACUUAUGGUCGCCAAUCAUUGAAGAACUAGUGCUAUAUGAAAUUACAAUGAAUUCAUAUUUUUAUAUCAAAACGAAGUCUGGAAAUGGUGGCUACAAUAUUUACUGAAAUGAGUGAAGAUGGGAAAUAACACCGACACGCAGCAGUACAAACGAUGGAACUACCUUAUUCAAAUGCACUAUAUACGUACAUGCUAAUAGUGACACCUGGGUUUAUGAUGCGUAGUUCUCCUACACGUUCGAGAAAAAAACAAAGUGAUGCCGGGCGGGGCAUUUUUCAGUGCCCCUACUCUUCAACGUUCAGAUCUGCUGCAUCAACUGAAGUGAAUUCGCCCUCUCGCGAGAACAAGUCUGUACCCUUUACAACCUUCUUCUGCGGGAUUUGGCUGAUCUUGAGCCGGUCCUCGUCAGUCAGCUCCCAGUCGAAAAUCUCUAGGUUUUGCUUGAGCCUCUCCAUGUUGUAGCUCUUGGCGAUGGACGUCACUCCCUGCUCAUAUAUCCAUCUCAGUGACACCUGAAGUACAAGAUCGAGCGCACUGUAAGCAAGAAAGGGAUACAUGCAUAGAACUGAAACGGAACUGUGGUCGCAGGAUUGCAGCAGGCUUUUACACAGCGUACCUGUGCGAUGGUUUUCCCUCUUGCCUUGGCAAUCCCGGCGAGCACAUCGGACUCCAGCACGGCGUUGCCCGUCCCGUCCCAAUUCUGGCCGCCCAGCGGCGAGUAGGCCGCGACGUGGAUGCCCUUCUCGGCGCAGUAACCCCUCAGUGUCCGCUGCUGCCACACCGGGUUCAGCUCCACCUGGUUCACCGCGGGAGGGAUCGUGGCGGCGGCCAGGACCUUGUCGAGGUGCUUGGUGGUGAAGUUGCUCACGCCGAUCGCCUUGGCGAGCCCGAGCCGGUGGCACUCCUCCAUCGCCAGCCACACGCCCUCGAAGUCGAACGGCAUGGCGUCCUCCUUCUUGGCCGGGAACGAUGGCGGCACGGGCUUGAUGCAGAUCGGCCAGUGGAUCAGGUACAGGUCCAGGUACUCCAUCUGCAGGUUCCUACAUGCUCUUACAAGUCGCAUCAUGAUCAUCAAGGGGAGAUGUUAAGAUGAUCACGUUUAAUUGCAAGCGCUACCGGGACGGGAGACUCUUACUGCAGGGUUUGACGGAGGGCCGGGAGGACGAGGUCCGGGUGGCACUGCGUGCACCACAGCUUGGACGUCACGAACAGCCCCUGCCGUGACGCGACGAGCCCGCGCCGCACAGCCUCGGCCACGGCGUCGCCGAGCGGCUUCUCCGUGCCGUACAUGUAGGCGGUGUCGAAGUGGCGGUAGCCCACCUCGAUGGCAGCCAGCACGGCGUUCUUGGUGGCCUCGGGCACCAGGGGGAAUGCCGCCGUGCCCAUGCCGACCGCCGGCAUCGGCCUCGCGUUGCCCGACCGCAGCGCCACCUCCGGCACCGCCGCCGCCACCGUCGCCGUUCCCUUAGACGCCAUGCCGAUGCGCCUCUCGGAUGGAGAGCUCUUGUGGAUGCUGCUUGGCGUGAUAAUUUAAGUAUUAGAUGGUCUUGCGCUUGCUGCACUUGGUUACACUUUCGCUUUCUCGUAGUAGGUGAUCAAGCACUGUCGUUGAUCAGGAAAGGUCCUUUUUGAGUAGUUCUUUAGUAGCGCGUUUGUAAUAAUAUUCGAUCAAGCAAUCUCAUGAAGAUGCUUGAGAGAAGAAUACAAAAGAAGCGAUGAACCAGAGUGAGGUUGUCAGACCAUUUGAUGGCGACAGCACACCGUCAUCACUUUGGUAGCUUUUACAGAGUUAGUCAAACACUUCUUCAUGCCACUAUCUUGGCUCCAUGGAAACAAGCGGGCAUUUGGUAGGCCGGACCACCCUUCGGCUAGGUCAGAUGGUGCAGGUGGUCAUGAUUGGUAGCCACGACAGGGUUGCAAGCUAGGCUCAGUGUAUGCAAAAGAGGAUUCCCAGCCAGCAUCGCGUGGAACGCCAAGAUCAAUGUUCCACGCGGUGCAAGCUCGAAGCAGUAGUUCGCGUCACCCUAUUUCGUUUUUCUCAAGCAACACACAUGCUCCGGAAUGGGCGGAGGCCACGGCGACGUGCCGCGGAGGGGUGGAGGCGUGCGGUCGCGGAGAGGUGCUGGGGCUGCAGAGGAGCACAGCGUGGGGGCCGAGCUAGCAGCAGCCACGGCGGCGCACGGAAGAGGCAGUCAGCAGGGGUUGCCGCCGCGGGAGCGAAGUUGCGUAGGGCCGCAGCGGCCUGGAGGAGGCGUCCUGCAACGACUGCAUCGGUGCACGGGGGAGGUGGCCUGCGGGGGCUGUGGCGGCGCUCCCCCACCAGCUCCCGAGGCUGCCGUCUCGACCACCAGCAUUCGCCAUCGUACCCACCGCCGGCGCCCACAGCCCCAUCCCUACCCGACGCUCGUGGCCCCGUCCCCUCCUCCGGCGCCCAAGGCCACCAUCCCCGCCACACGCUCGAGGCUACAAUCCUACUGGGCACCUGUGGCCGUCCUCCCCACCACGCACCCACGACUGCAGUCUCCACCACCGGGCGGCCGCCAUCCCUAUGUCGUGCCCCGCGCCCCCCUUCCCCACUACCGCCCGGCUGAUGCUCAUAAAAGAUGGUGGUAACUCUGCCACAUCCACAGGGUUAGCCUACUUCGACGUACAACAUAUCAAACAGAAUCCAGAUUUAUGGGGUGCAAUUUCGGAACUGUAGGCUCGAGCGAGCCUGGCUGAGGCAGUUCAGGCUGGCAAAAGCCCCGAAGCUUCAGAAAGAAUGCCAACACGGAAGCAUCACUGUUGGAACGUAUGCUGUGGUGCCGUGGGACUGUUGGAACGUAUGCUGUGGUGCACUGCUACCCACGGCACCAGUAUGUGCAUAGCGCGCUGCACUGAUAACAGAUGCUACAAACCGAGCCUUAUCUUGCAGUAGGUUGUUGCCGGGCUAUGAGCAGAGCAACGCACGAUCUAGCGCCGGACGGAGAGCAGUGCAGCACAGGACACAUUCGAACAGUAAGAGGUUUACAUGAUACUCGAAGAAUGGACCUUCGAUGAAACAGCAAAAUCAAUUCCAGUCACCACUGCAAUGCAAAGCGAUUCGAGACGUCCAGUCAAUUUGACAAUGUAUAUGCUGCCAUUUUUAUUCUGUUCUGCGAGGUGUACUGACAAUUCAAAUUUCAAAGUGACGGCAUGGCUUUGCAGGAAUUCCGUCCUGCUUUCAGGACAUACCAUAUCAAACAACCAGUACCAUAAAAUUUUCAGAACACUGCAACUGGAUGGAGAUUUUCAGCUACAUUUCAAAAAUAUCAAGCUCGGCAAGAUCCACACUGGAGGCGCCUUCGGGGCUAAGGAUCCCAUGACUCUGACCCUCUUGAGUUGCGGUAUCUGACUAAUCUUGAAACGGUCUUCAUCGCUCAGUUCCCAAUCGAAGAUCUCCAUGUUCUCCUUGAGCCUCUUCCAUUUUUUUUAACGAGCCAGCAGGAGAGCUGUUGCUAUAUUAAAAGAGAGGAAAAGCCCGACAGGCCGUAUACAAACGUACUAUACAAGUUGUACACUCGCAUCCCCAAAAUGGGGAGGCAGAACUCCGUUAUGACAACUAGUACAAAACGGACGCCUAUCCUGAGAGAAAGUCCCCCAAGUGUUUAGCUCCCGCAGCGACCCACAUCGCAGCUUGGUUCUUGACGCCGUCGGUUAUCUGGAUAACCGUCUUGUCUUUGUGUUGGAAGACUCUCUGUUUUCUCUCUAGCCAGAUCUUCCAAAGAACGAGGAUAAUGAGGGUCCGCAACCCUUUCUCCCGUUCCCCCCGGCCACCGGACUAGCCAGCGUAGCUGUCCACCAAUUUUAGGCUCUUGACAACCAUGCUGGCACCUUGCUCAUAGAUCCACCUCAGAGAAAUCUAGGGGGAGAAGGGAAAGUAGUUAUGCUGCUAGUGCUAGGUGCUAUAACAUCAUUGCAGAAAAAAAUCCAGGGGACUCCAACAUAUUAACACUGUAUUAUAUGGUUUUGCCAUGCUGUUGUGUAAAAGUUUAGAGUUCUCUUAGGGCUUCUACACUCGCUCAAAAAAAAAAACUUGCUAAAUUUGAGCACAUCAUGUGCUCUGCCAAACUUUAAAUUUUAAAACCUUCUCUUUUUUUUUAAGAUUACAAAUUGCACAAGCCUAGUUAAGAACUUAAGACACUAUGCGGUGCUACACCAGCAGCUACUUAUGAGAAAGCCUUCGGAAAUGCUGAAAUAUUACAUGAACUGAAAUGAUUGGUUAACUUUGACCAAGGGCCUGUUUUCUUCCACUUGCUAAACUUUAGCACCCGUCACAUCGAAUGUUUAGAUACUAAUUAGAAGUAUUAAACGUAGACUAUUUACAAAACUCAUUACAUAAGACGAAUCUAAACGGCGAGACGAAUCUAUUAAGCCUAAUUAGUCCAUGAUUUGACAAUGUGUUGCUACAGUAAAUAUUUGCUAAUGAUGGAUUAAUUAGGCUUAAUUAGGCUUAAUAGAUUCGUCUCGCCGUUUAGAUUCCACUUAUGUAAUUGGUUUUGUAAAUAGUCUACGUUUACUACUCCUAAUUAGUAUCUAAACAUUCGAUGUGACACGUGCUAAAAAUAAGACACGGGAAGAAAACGCCCCCCAAGAUUCAUUGAGAGAUAUAGUUCGUACCUGAGCCACAGACUUCCCUCUAGCCUUUGAAAUCUCUUCCAGAACUUCAGACUGCAGUAUUGCAUUUGACAUGCUUUGGCCUCCAAGGGGAGAAUAUGCAGUCACAUGAAUACCCUUAUCUUUGCAGAACUCAAUUAGCUUUUUCUGCUGCCAAAUUGGAUUCAUUUCAACCUGCAAAUGUCAUAAAUACCAGUGCUGUAACAUGUCAGAUGAUAUGGCAUAGGUAUGAUCGAGGCUAUACCAUAUACAAAGUUGUAGGUGGGGAUACUCAUCCCCCAUCGUUUGUGUAAAAAAAAGUUAUUAACAAUUGAGAAUUCAUUAAACAGUCUUCAAGUUCUAUAUCUAGAAGUAAACUUAAUAUCAUAUUGGUCUGUUCUUCCUUCAUACGGAAUAUUAUUUCACGCAUACUACCAAUUAAAAAUAGAUUACAAAAUCCUGAAAGCAAAGACUGACAGCUAACGAAGGUUACUGCAAUUUCCAUCACUAAUUAUCCAGUUGACCAAUACAAACCUGAUUAACCGCUGGUGGGAUCUCAGCAAUGGCAAGUAGCUCUUGCAGCUUCGUUGUCGUGAAAUUGCUGACACCAAUCAUUCUAGCAAGGCCAAGCCGAUGGCAUUCCUCCAUCGCCCGCCACACGCCGCUCAAGUCCAUGGGCAUUAUGUCCUCCCUUUUAAUUGGAAACUGGGGCUCGCCGGGCUUUGCAGCCAUUGGCCAAUGAACCAGGUACAAAUCAACGUAUUCCAUUUGAAGGUUCCUACAGAUGAAGAGGUGAGAAUCGUGAUUGCCACAAAAAAACAGCAAUUUUAGUUUUAUGAGUUUUAGUACUCCAGGCUUCCAGCUAGCAGCUACUGCAGAAUUGCUGGGUUGGAUUGCAACAAUUUUGUUUUAAUUUUCAAAUUCCUUUCGCCUGUUCUUUAAAGAACCAAGAUUUAAACCAUAGAGAGUUUAGUAGAUUCUAGUAAUUGAAAACCGGAUCUCUAAAAAAAAUAGAAGCAAGCAAAUUUUAAGCUCGGGAAACUUACUGCAAGCUCUCCCUGAGGGAAGGGAGCACGAGGUCCGGAUGGCACUGCGUGCACCACAUCUUGGUCGUGACGAACACGUCCUCCCUGGAUGCCACGAUCCCGCGCCGUGCCGCCUCGGCCACGGCCUCACCGACGGCCCGCUCGGAGCGGUAGAGCACGGCGGUGUCGAGGUGACGGUAGCCGAGCUCUAGCGCGGCGAGGACGGCGGCCCUGACGUCUUCCUCCACGAACGGGAACGAUGCCGUGCCAAGCCCCACCGCCGGCACCGGCCGGCCGGCGGCGCCAGCUAGGAACUCCGGGAUCUUGGGACAACCGGUGCCGACCCUCCCUGUUUGUGAUGCCAUGGCCGGCGUCGCCUGCGUGUUCCGCGUUCUCUCUUGGGGAUAUGGACAAGAGCUAAAUUGAAAAGGAGAAAGAAAGUUGUCUCGUGAGUCGUGACGUGACGCGUGUCCGGCGAGCCCCCCUCUCGGAGAAGAAAUUUAAGGACAGCAAACCAAAAGAAGCCAAACUGAACAAGAGACUGCUAGUAAAGCGUCCAGCGCGCUUGAUGUUCCAAAGCCUUUCUACUUAGCUCGUCUCCAUAUCGGCAUAUCGCUAACACUCCACUACAUGGAUUGCAGCCCCGUCGUUGCCUGACCAGAUGAAAACAUGGCUAAACAAUCCUGCUCCGAAUCCACCUUCCUCUCAUUCAAAUGAUUUCUAACCCAUGCCAAUCCCAAACCAAGCUCGUGAAGCUUCACAUGGACCAUAUACAAUCACAACCUUCCUCAUUUUCAGACCUCAGGACAUCAACUUAACGUACAAAGCUUCUGCACAUCUCAAACCAAAUGGUAAAUUGGUAAUUAACCACCCAUCAGUUCAGGUAGAGAUCAAACGGUUCAAUCGCUAACAUCACAACCAGAGUUUUACUAAAAGUAUGCGGCAACGCUGCAUCUUACAUCAGACUACUAUAGUACUAGACAUUCAAUUGAGCUGGCUGCAUAGCCAAAUAUCCUAGCUGGUAAGUAUGAUCACUUAGACUGAAAGGAACAACUAGCCAAGUAACCAACCACAGGUCCAGUACAGCAUCCACCUUAGAACCAGCAGCAUGACACAAAAGCAUCCAGAACAUGAAGCUCAAAAUCCCUGCAAUCAGAUGAAGAGUGAGAAAUCAUGAUUGCCACACUAGCUAAACCGUUAAGUUCAAAGCUGGACAUGACUGGGGAAAAAACUGAAAGUUGGAGAGACAUGACUGGGCAAAUGUCUGUUCUGAAGAUUGGUUAGAACACGACUCCUGGGUUGAUCGGCUUCCUCCGUGUCAAGGUCGACGACAGCAAUCUACGCACAACAAAUGUGUGCUUGACCGCCGCUUCCCUACCUGCAGCUACGGACAGGGCCGGCCACGGCGGCGCAGAGGAAUAGGAGGGCUGCUGCGAUGGGAAUAUCUUAGUAUUCAUCUUGCUUGGUACUGUUUCCUCUACGGCUCUACCAUGUUUCUUCUCUAGAGACUGUGUCAUGUACGAAAAUCUUGACAUCACCAAUGGUCUCCUAUACAAUGAAGCACGCGGACUUCCUGAGCUCGACCGCCUGUUACCGUGACGCCAACCAUACUCCCUUUGCCAUGGCCCAUGACAACAGCGGUGGCGUCGACAAACUUUGCCGGAAUCCACACUCAAGGUUGGUGGAUUAACCACCAGAUAUUAUCAUGUCUUUACUGAUUCAGCCCAACUAGCUUUCCUGCUGCUCUGAAGUUGCUAUCACUUGAUUUGCUCCAUUCAUGGGACGCAAUCCAACAGAAUGUUCAGGAUUUGAGGCAUUGUUAAACACACUUGGCAUUCGGCCCGGUUUUUCUGUAGAUGAUUAUGCGCACGUCCGGGGGAAUGGAGGCACGAAGAAGGUUUCUUCAGAACAAAAACUGGUGGUAAGAUCCGAAGCAGACGCACUGACGAGGCAUGUCCAUCAGCAUCCUGCAGCUGCAGACGAUUACCAGCCACGGUACGUGCUCGCCUUCGUACAGCCUGGGAGGAGAGUAGGAGACCACUGCGAGGCGCGUACCAUGUCGGCCAUGCCCAGCCGGCAGCCGGCGCGAACGCAGGCGCCUGGACCUUAACCGGCGAGCGGCGCGCGCCUCCGGCUUACCCGGUCGUAGCUGCGGGAGCAGAGCAGCGGAGAUGUCGCUGGUGCUAGCCCUUGAGCAAGAUGAGGCCUCACGAUCCCCGCCGGGACAGAGCGCGGCGGUGCCGACCACAGGAGCAAGGAUACGGAGGCGUGUAGCGGCUGGAACGCGGCGGCGCUCCGGCGAGCCGAGGACCCAAGCAGAGGAAGCGCGGGUGGACGGUGGAGGCCCCUUUACCAAGCCCGUGGGGGACGGUAUACCGUCCACCCCUUGAGUUCCUGCAGCCGUUCGAUCGGGCAUGUGCGGCCCGGAUGCGGCUCAGUUCCAGUCUGACUCGGUCGGCUCAGUUCCAGGAGGGCAGGAGCCCCUACAACCCGCUGCUUGAGAUCGCCGGCAGCCUGUGUGCCGCCGUGUCGUCGCCGCCUUGCGCCGAGCUUUGCUGACGAACGCGUUCAUCUGCGGCGAGGACGUUCUGGCGCCACGCCGCUACGCAUCGUCGACAGCCGAGAUCCAACCAGCAAGGUCUUGGCUCGAUUGAUGGAUUGAUGCUGAGAACAAGAGGAUCAAUGUAUUGAAGCUCCGCGUGGGUCAUCGGCGUCCGUGAGGCCAAACAAGACGGGCGAGAUUGAACUCGAGGUGCUGGGCGGGCCUUGCCCGGUAACGCGUGUUGUUCAGUACGGUCUCAACGACGCUGAAAACCCAAACGAAAAGAAACAAGUACACUAACUCAAAUCGGAUGUUUGAAGUUGAAGAGAGAUGCAGCCACAACAACCAUAAAUUUAGCCCUGUUUGGAUACCCUCAAAUGAAGAGCUAAAGUUUAGCACCUUGGAAUGUUUGGAUGGUGUGCUAAAUUAUAGCACAUUAAUUUCCAAAAGACAAUUAUAACCCUUUGCUCUUCUACCCCACUGAACAAAUCCUAGCUAGCUUCCUUUUCUCCAUCAAGCGUGUCGCGCUUACCCACAGCGCAGGGCCGCGCGGCCGCGGCGGAACCGGUGGCCGCUGGGGAGCAGCCGCAGGUGACGGAGCGGGCGGGAGGAACCGGUGGCCGUCGGGGAGCAGCCGCAGGCGAAGAAGCGGAACUCCACCAUGGCUGCCACCUAUGCCUUCCUCGGCAGCCGGGCUUCGGGACCAUCGGCGCGCGCUGCGUCGUCAAGGCCAACCACUUCCUCACCGAGCUCCAGUUCCGCCGCCGCCGCCUCCCUCCCCGCUCCUCCCUCGCGCCCCCUUCAGAUCGGCACGCCGGCGAAUGAGCCAUGGCCGAGCGGAGGAGGUAGGGCCGGUGGAGCCGGGCGAAGGAGGCAGGGCCGGCGGAGGCGGCGGGGACGGGCGGAGGAGGCACGGCCGGCAGAGGCAGCGGGGCCAGGCGGAAGAGGCAGGCGGCGGGGAGGAGAGAGGAGAGGAGAGGGGGAGGCAACUAGGGAAAAUGUGGGAUUGGGGACCACUUUUAGCACUAUUAGCAGGUUUUAUCGCCCCUUUGAUGUGCUAAUGAAAUUGGGUGUGCUAAACUUUAUCACUCACCUUUUAGCACACUUGUUUGGAACCUCAAGUGCUAAAAUGGUGUUAAAAGUGGAGUGCUAAACUUUAGCACCCCUCUUCCAAACAGGACCUAAGAAAGAAACUUCACGUAAGACGUAAUGCUGCCUCUCCAGUGAGCUAGAUCUAGGGAUGCCUCGGCCACGAUGAUGGUCCAGCUAGAAGCCAGAUGGACCUUCAGGUCACCUUCUUCAAUGAGGAUGGGCUUCAACCUACUAUACAAACCGACUUUUUUUUAUUUUGAAUCAGAGUUACUUUCCAUAAAAUCCAUAGACAGUAAGUAGAUGGGUCCAUCAGCGUACUUAUAAGCCGUUGUCGUUUUGAACAAUGUUACUCUACAAACUAUAAAAUAAAUGUCCAGGUGACCCAUCUGUUGUAGGACUACCGGUCGUGGAUCCCAUGGGGCUCGUUAUCUUGGGCCACAUGUAUACUUGUGCGUGGGAAUCACUUACAUGGAUCACAUAAAUAAUUAAACAGUACCAAAUCUCCUAGAAUUGCUUCAAAUCUUGGGGUUUUAGUAUAGGAGUAGUGUAGAUUUGCUUAUACACCAUGCAUAUUUGAUACACGAAAAAAAUAUUCUUAUAAUAAAAAAGCAAUGUAAAUAACUCUUGUAUUUAAAGUAAAAACCAAACAUAAUCAAUUUAUUUGAAAUUAUAUUACUUUUGUCACAAAACAGAAUUAUUCAAUAAAGAAGGCAACAGAUCUGUCAAAUGUCCAACUCCUGCAAGCUCCGUAGUAACUAAACUUCUGCUUUCCUAUUCGCAGCAUCGAAUACUGUAUUGGACUUCCCUAUUUUCUUAGUUCUUGUUUUCGCACUUUGGAAGAUCUGAAGGCGGCGGGGGCAGAGUGUCACCCAGCAUGGGCCCGUUGGCCACCUCGAUGACCGUCGCCAUGCCCAUGGCAAUGUGGAACUCGAAGUGGCAGUGCAUGAACCACGCCCCUGGGUUGUCGGCGACGAACCGGAUGGCAGCCCAUCCAAGCCUUGGCACCUGCACCGUGUUCUUCAUCUGCGGGUCCACCACGUUGUAGCUGCUCACGUCCUUCGCCGGGUCGUAGUUGCCAUGGCCCUGCGCGAGCACGAAGAAAUCGUGCCCGUGGAGGUGCAUCGGGUUGGAGUCGCUUUGCAUCGUCGAGGUGCUCUGGAACACCACCUCGACCGUGGCGUUGUGCGCGAACCGCCGCACCGUCGUCGCCUUCCGCGUCGCCUCGAGCCGCUCCAGCUCGCCGCCGGGGACGACCGGGAUCAGCGCCGGGUCGGUGUAGUUGAAAGCCCUUGGAGGCCUGCUAGGCAGGUCCUGCACCACCACGGCGGCACCGGCACCGUUCAUCUUGCCGUAGUGUCGCGCCUCGAGCAGUGACAUCUUCUCAGGGAGACGGAAGGAGACGUUGUUCAUGUAGGCCACCUCUAUGGACUCGGGGUUUCCUCCCCUCCUGCAGGAUGGCUUGUUCCCCUUGCAGAUGCUGCCCUUGCCGAGCGAAAUGAAUAGAUGCUCGUCGACGCGACCUUGAAUCUUUGGCAGCAACGGGUGACCAGGCAGGCCUGAUAGGUUGCCAUGGAAGUAGAACGUCGUGAGCGUGUCGUGCUGAUCAGGCAUCUCAGGCAUGAGAGGCUCGUUCCUGCACUUGUCUGCGUCGAGUGGGAUGCCUCUGUACUGCACUAUCCCUCUGGACAUGAACACCGGAAUCUGGGGGUCCGGGGCCGGGGGCUGGUUGGCCAGUGCGACCAUGUAGUAGCGGCAAGGUGGGGCGUCAGCGACCAUGAGGACGUCGAUCGUCUCUCCAGGCGCAACCGCGACGACAUCGGUGGCGUAUGGCCUGACGUAGUUGGCGUCGGAGCCGACCACCGUGAACUUGUGAUCGGUGACUUUGAAGUAGUACUCGGAGAAGAGCGCCGCGUUCACUAGCCGGAGCAUGUACGUCUUCCCGUGCUCCACGUUCAGAACGAAGUUGUCUUCUCGUACCCCUGCACAACAAGGCUCACGGCCGGGGUACAUUAUUUUGUAUGUUUUUGUUGUUAAAUUCUUAAAAGACUUGAAGAUGUAGCAGGAACAUAUAUGUAUGCGCUGGGACAGUAUUUUACCGGAGCAGUUGUAGAGAUCACUGAGCUUUCCAUUGAUGGUAGCUGCAGCAGGGUUGUCACUGAAUGAGCCCCCCAUGGAGAAGUUCUUGUCCACUUUCAUCAAAUCUCUCUGCCACCAUUCAGCUGCAAGCAAGGUCGAUGGAACAAGAUCAGAAUACAGCAAAAACUGGCUAGAGAUGCAUCAUUCUACUACUAGAUACCCGAUUACCUAUGAUGAUGGGAACAUCCACGUGAGGCUUCUGGAAUGGGUAGGAGCUAGACUUUGGGCGGAUGACGAUGAUGCCGUGCAGGGUUGCCCGGAGGAUGGAGACGUGGGCGUGCCACCACAGCGUACCCACCUGGCCGUCGACGUUGAACCGGUAGGUGAACGUCGUGUUUGGCUGGAUCGGGCACUGUGUUAUCAUUCCGGCGCCAUCGGCCCAACAUGUUAAUCGCUGCUUUACACCGUGCCUGUGUAUUAUUACAAGAGAAGAAGAUGUUUAGUUGUUGACUUGGUGGUAGCUCAAGUAUCGAGAAGAGAUUGACCUAAUCCAGAUUAUGAUAACUAGUAGCUAUCAUCCCGUGCUCCAGCGCGAGCUAACAAUUUUGACAUUUUGGGAGACAUAAUUUUAGAAAUUCAAAAAAUAUUAAGACCCGUAGCUAAUAAUGAAAAUUAUUACCUUGAGCUCUCUCUAAUUUAUGAUAGACUUUAGUUAGUAAUUAUUCUAUAUACUUUUUAAUCCAUAUUCAUAUUUUUUUCACUUUGCAUCACACCUCUAGAUGUGUUUAACUGAUUGAACCCUUAGUUUGAGCUACGUGUUUAACAAGAAAUCGAUAUUCUUAUUGUUUUCUCCAAACAAGUAUGCAUGGACAUGGUGACACAAAAGAUACACUGAUGCAUAUAUAUAACUUAAUAAGUUAGUAUUUGUUGCCUAUUAACAUGACAGGAAUAUAUAAUUUAGAAUUAUAUAUUCGUGUACUUUGGGAUGAUUUUUCAUAAUGACAUAUGUAGGUUAUUUUUAAUAAUAGCAUGUAUUGGCAAUUUAGAUGUAAGUUUAGAGUUUGAGUAACAUAUUUAACAUGGAAAAUAGGUAUUCUCAUCUCUUCCUCCGAACAUGUAUACAUGAUCUACAUGGUGACACGCAUCAUGCAUACAUACCUCGAGUUAAUUCAAGGCAGAAUGAAGCAUUGUAUCAAUCCCUAACAAAAAGAUAAUUUGACCAUGUCUUGUACAUCCUGAUACUUAAUAUAAUUAUUAUAUUUUUAGUCGAGAGCGGAAACCAUUGGAUUAAUUUCUAUCUGUGCUAUAGGUUAAACUGAGGAAUAAAGGAUUAUGUAACCGUGCAUAAGCUAAUAAUUAAACCGAAUUCUGAAGUAUUCUUAUUGUUGUUACCUGAAAUCAGUUGUUUUACCUUUCCACAUGAUAUGAAGUAAUGUUGCAAUCUUGGGGACAUACGUACCAGUGAAUUGUUAUUUCAAAGGGUGACUCGUUGACGACGUGUACAACAACCGUGUCUCCUUCCGUAGCCUCUACCGGUGGACCGGGAAACUGACCAUUCACAACCGUGACCAGGGUAUCAUUGCAAAGAUGUCGCAUAUACACUUGCUUUACCUGCAAGUAGUUGCGCUGGAUUAUACCCUUUUCAGGUCAAUAAACAAUCAAGCAGGCUUUCAGGUGAAAAGGGCUGCGUAGCUUUCAGUGUCUUAUCAAAAUUUUAUUUAUUGACUUAUGCUAAACUAAUAACUUUGUCCUAACUCCCAAGUCAAUUUUUUUCUAACUUUGACAAAGCUGCAGAAAAAUGCACCAACAUUACUAAGUUUGUUUUAUUAAAUUCACCAUGAAAUAUAUUUUGAUAGUAUAUUUAUCUGCUCUUGCAUAUGUUAAUAUGUUUUUUCUAAAAAAAAUUAGUUAAAAUUAGAGCAGCUUAACUUAGGAAAAAGCUAAAAUGAUCUAAAAUUUGGAACAGAGGUUGUAUCUUAAUUAAUUGGAUGGGACAAAACUGUAUGUCAGCGCCAAGAAGUACAUAACUAUAGCCCCUUGUUUUAAAUUCUUUAGGAGUGGUUUAAAGAGGUUUCAAAUAAUCACCCCUAAAAAUGUUUUAGUACUGUGUUUGCAUUUGAAUUUUUCUUAAUUAAUUUUUUUUGCCUAUUCAUGGCCUGUGUAGAAAAAAUAUAAAUUGCUACUCACACUGAAUUAUAUUUGUUAUGCGAUUAAGAAAAAAAUUGUAGAAGUGUUCUAGGUACUCAAGAAUUAUUUCAGAUUUUCUUAAAUAUUUUGAAAAGAAGCCCGAGCAGAAGGCAUUACUACUCACAACAAACGUGUGCUCAACCACCGCCGCUUCGCUACUUGCAGCUCCAGACAGGGCCACGGCGGCGUAGAAGAAGAAGAGGGCUGCUGCAAUGGGAAGCAUCUUACUCAUCUUUUGCUUUGGUGCUGUUUCCUCUAUGUCUCUACUUCUAUGCCUCUACAAUGUUUCUUCUCCAGCGUGCUCAUGUCAUGGUUUGCUUAAUUCACCAAAACCCCAAGGCCUUAUAUAGACGCAAGUAGGUGGAUGCUCGAUUGCUCGCUCGUGUACUCGUCUAAGCGAAGAUCCCGAGGAAAGACAAAGCCAAAGGUUAUUACUAGGGUUCGGUCAGAAGCUGCGUCAUAUUCUUGAAAAAGAUAUAUGACAACCUUGACAUCUACUUUGAAAUUAUGUUCAGUCAGAAUUUGUUUUUUUCUUUUUUUGCGGGUGAUAUAUUCAGUCAAAAAGAUAUAUGACGACCGAAAGGGUGCAACGCCCCUGGAAGCUACAGUACGUGGCCAGCAAAGUGACGCACAUGAGAAGAACUAGGUUAGGAAAACACAGGAAGCUAGCAGCCGUCAAUAACCAAACGCAUACAGUGCGGAAACUCGAUUGUUAGUAAUACUUUGAUUAAGUCCAUGUCGUAGCAAGUUUUUUCAGCUGAGUUAUUAAUAAGGGUGUCAAUUCGCAUGACUUUGGCAACAGGAUUCAGGAGGGAAAAAACAAUUAGUUGCAUUGCACGCGCGUCAGACCAUUUCGUUGUGCCGUUAGCUAGUCAAAGCUGCUGAAUUACCAAAAUCAUGGAGAAAAUAGAGGCUAUUAAUAACCUGUAUCUCUGUAUGGUUCCAGCAGCUGUCACUGUUACUCAUCCUCGGACGGCGCGUGGCAGCAGGCAGCACCGCCCUUUGCCACACCAUGUUCUAAUUUCAAGUCUUCUCCAGCGCCGGUCCUACACCUCUACCGCGCCUCCCUCUAGGGUAAGGAACCAAAAACAAAAACAAAACAAAACUGCUGAGGUCAAGACGACGAGGAUUCCCUCUAGACGGUACUCGCUCGCGGUAUACAGAAGAUAGUCCCGUCCUGAUAUAUAUGUGUUAUACACCAUAAACGUGUUUAGUGGCAUCUUAAACUUUUAUGGUGCCCAUAGUGGCUUCAUUUAGUUAAAUAGCAGAUAAUAUUAUUACAGUCGUUGCAGAUUACAAAAUAACGUGUGGAUCCAAAAGAAAGAUCACAUCACAUUUCUAAUGUACUCACAGUGUAGGCUUGUGAUGGACGAGGCAUAGGAGUUGCGAGACAAGGCGAGGGAAGGAACUUGCUGGGCUGUCCAAUGGAGCCGACGGCAUCGGGUCGUCCAGCGAUGCCACAAUUGUGGUCAGUAAAACAGGUAAAGCAUAUGCAUAUCUCUGCCAAAUCUGAAAGGCAGUGUGCCCAAUUUGCUCCGAAAGGGCAUCAAUUAGUAGGUCUGCUGCAAUCAACUCAAUCUUUUGGUAUCACAUACACUGGAUAAGGUACAGAUCCUGCCCUUUGUCCACGUAGCGAAACAGCAUGAGAGGCGACUCCCAUGGCGACCACCCACCAGAAACCCACUCGCCGCCCAAAUCCACCAUCCCGGCCAACAACCACACCAAAUCCACCACAGAUCAGGAUGCGCCUGGCGACGAUCUACAAAUCCACCCAACCUUUGUAGCGGAAGAACCGAGAAGGACCGAGAUCGAGUCAUGCCAAGAGCAAGCAAGGUAUCAAGGACCAGUCGAGGACACCGGUGUGCAGGAGCUGACACCAGCGGCGGCCCACCAUCAAGAUGAGGAUGCUCCUUCCCAAGAUCAUCAAGCAAGGCCGGAGGACAGCAUUCUUCCGGAUCUCACCCAAGAUCUGCGCCUACAGGCGGACAUCACUCUGACAAGACCAGGGGCGAGACUUGAUGGGCCAGAUGAAGACCCCCUGGUGAAGGAUCUCCUCCAACGGCUCGCCAGUAGGGAGAUCCCGCAGAAUCCACCAGCGGACGUCACCACGGCACAGACUCCCCAAGGUACGCGAGUUAUGGGGAGAGAGAUGAAGCAGUCCAUCAGUUCAGAGAAGGGGAAAGGGCAGGUAGCUGAAGCAAGACCGAGGCAACAUUCAAUUCAGCUAGCAGCGAGAGAAAGGAGUAAUACCACAGGCAAUUGGAAGUUCCAGAGUGGUGAAUGCUCGAGAGUAUCAGGGGCACAAGGCAGGCAAUCUUCCUAUUACCAAGAACGAUCCAAGCGACCUUCCCAACAAGAGUGUCCCAGGCGAACAGAGCGUCACUGGCAGCCAGAGGCACAGCUGGAAGAACACGGCUUCCAGAUUGUCAAAGCACCCUACUGGUGGAGAAAGAUUGGAACACAUUCAAGAGAAGAUUCAAAACACCACCAACCGGGCCAGGAAGAACGAAGGAAGAAGUACAGGGAGCACGUCAAAGGCAAAUGCCUUAAUUGCUAUUCCACACAGCACAGAGUAGCACACUGCAACUACCAAGCUAAAUGCUGGAGAUGUUUGAAGCCAGGGCACCAAGCCCUCUCCUGCCCAUCCCGAAGAAAUCGAUAUAAGCAACCCUCACCAGAGCAACAACAGCACAGCCACACUCCUCCUCGUUCAACCCAGGCCGGCCAGGCCACUCGCACGGCCGACCGUUCUUAUCUCCAAGCAGCAAAGGGGGAGUCCACCCCCAUGGCGGCGUACCCGGGAGACCCGCGUGCUCGCCCGGACCAGGCCUUCUGCGCGGUCACGGCAACCGGAUCAAUCAAGCGCAGGAGGGAGGCGUUGGUGGGCAGGUCGGCGAUCUGUUGGCUCAAUGGCAACAGCCACGACACCGGAACACACCACGUCGUCGAAGCCCUCGAAGAGCAGCUCCACAUCAACCGUCAUGAGGUGCGCGUCGUCAAGCACUUCCCCGAGCAGUACCUGGUGUUCUUCUCCGACUGCAGAGCAUACAACCGCGUCCUCCAUCACCGUGGCAUCCGCAACAGAGGACGGGUGUUCAACUUCGAGCCAUGGUCUGAAGGCCGAAACGCGGUGGAAAGCAAGCUGGAGUACAGAGUCCGCCUGCGUAUUGAGGGCAUGCCGGUCCAUGCCUGGUCCGAGGCGGUGGCAGCCCAAGUCAUCGGCCAACACUGUGCCAUCCACUUCGUCGAGGAACAGUCACGCCGCCAGGAACGCACAAGGACAUAUGACCUGUGGGCAUGGUCAUCCAACCCAAGUAAGAUACCCAAGAAGGUUUUGCUAACCGUUACUGAUCCUGACAGGGAGCAGCAACCCAUUGACGUCCCCCGCAACCUCGUCGAGAUGCACCUUGACCCACCCAGGGGCUUCAAAGGGGCCUACAAUUACAAGCUGCACAUUCAUCUGGAUGUGGUGGAGGACCUCUCCUUCCUCCACGGGAGGGGUGGAGGCGGCGGACACUACAGGAAGCCACGCCGGGAGUUCCUCUGGAACUACGGGGCAGCUGACUCCCUCGGAGAACGGCGCAGCGGCCAGGGCCACGACGACCACACAGGACGGGACUACCGACCACGACACGACAGAGACGACUACGAUGACAACUUCCAGCGUGGCGUGCGUCGCCACCGCAGCAACUCCGCCUGGGGGAGAAUGACGCGCUGUCGGGGGACAGUGGACGACUGCUAUAGCUCCAACCGCUACCGCGACAGCAACCACGACUACACCGGCCACCGUAGCAGGGUUGGGCCACCGGACAGCAGCAACCUGACAUGGCACAAGAAGAAGGGCCCCCUCAAGAGUGUCACCUUCGCCAACCCAAUGGUACAGAUCUUGGGUGAGUCCUUGCAUCUCCCUAUCCAGUGCUACACAGAUGAGGCCCUUAUCCCCCAGGACAGAGCAGAGGAAGCAAUGGAAAGGAGUGAUCCAAUGAGAGAAGAAAUGCUCAUCACUCACUGUUAUGCAGGGUUCCCAUCCAAGGAGCGGCGCAUCCUGGAUAUGCUGGAGGCGCCAGGUUGGACUCCAGUCCCAUCCCCAGUUGGCGGCAUCAACACUGACAGCAGCACACUCAGCUUCAAGCCAUUUGAGGUGCACAAUCCUACAACUGAACUUUCCACUGCAAGUCAUGAAUUAUGUUUGUGGGAUAAGAUAAUUCAAUUAGAAAAUCAAGCACAAACUCUUGAGUCUCCUACACAGCCAUCUCCAACGAUCCUAGAACCUACUGAAGUAAACACAAACCUAACAUUCAGCACUGCCACUACAUCCGAUUCGCCUGAAGUCGCUACCACUGAACCUCCUGAACACACAUUACAAGUGGCUAAUACUGUGAGAGUGCAAACCCAGGAACCAAGCAGAGCAGACGCCUCCACCUCCACAAACAGAUCAAAUAACUCUGAAAAUGUGCUAGCUGAUAGGGAGACAGACCAGGUGGACGACAUGACCAGCUUCCUUAAUUUCAUCUCACAUGUACCAGUUGCUCCCAUUUUGCACACACCACCGAGAGUAAAUCCCAUCCAGCAAGAAAGCCAUGGAAACAUUCCAGCUCCUAGCCACAGGAAGAGCUCACGCCUAGCAGACAAAGCUAAGCUACACUCAGGCAAAGAUAGCAUUCAGCUUGCACAGAGUAUUCUGAUUAGCAAAUUGGGGGAAUUAUCACCAAAAGCACCGCACCAAGAUAAACCUGACUUUGAUAAUUUUACGCAGCAUCUCCCGAAGCCUUUGACAAGCAUGAAGAUGGCUGCGAUCCAGACUCUGGUGGAGCAAGGAAACAAGCCUAGGAGCAAGAAGAAAGGCAAGGUGACGCCGGCGCCUGUAGAGACAAUGGAGGCAUGACCAUCGCCUCCCAGUCUCGACCUCCCAGUCUCUUAGUCGUUAUAUUUUUAUUAGCAUGUUUAAAUUGAAAACUCAGAACUUCCCUCGGUGUGUAAUUUUAAUGGGGUCCUACGGCUUCAGCGGUAUUUGGACCACGACGGGCCUAGAGUCGACGUCCAUGAAGCUCGUCAAGUUGCCCGCGACGGUGAUUUGUUGGUGCCUGGCUUUGUAUCCGACCUUUGCGUCUAGCCCCAUCGUGGGUUUGUAUCAGGCCUUUACGCCUAGCCCCAUCGGCACAAUCCCUUUAACAACUCAAGCUGUGCAAGUUGAUAAUCAUUGUUAUGUCGCAAAAAGACUGUAACAUACUAUGCUGGAAUGUCAGAGGAUUAAACGCGGCUGCACGUAGAGCGAGUGUGCGCAAUACGAUCAUCUCAUCAGGGGCAACAAUCAUUUGUCUUCAAGAAACUAAAAUAGCCCAUUGGACAACACGCCUUAUCAAUGAGACGCUGGGACAAGAUUUUGCAAAAAAUUUUGUCGCCCUACCAGCCAACGACACAAGGGGUGGCAUCAUCCUAGCAGCAGCGGAUAGGCAUUUCCGUCUACAUGACACCCUCACUACGACAUACACACUAUCCGCGACCAUUACCAUGAAAGCGGACAAUACGUCCUGGAAGAUCACGGGGGUUUACGGACCACAGAGCGACCAGGAAAAAUUGAACUUCCUAGAUGAAUUAAAGAAUCUAAAAGACCAAGUCCCUGAACGUUGGCUAAUAGUGGGAGACUUCAACCUGAUAUACAAGGCCGAAGACAAAAACAACGGUAGACUAAAUAGAGGGCUCAUGAGAAGAUUCAAGCAAGUUCUUGACAUAAACCAACUCAUGGAAUUAGACCUACGGGGCAGAAGAUAUACGUGGAGCAACGAACAAGAUUCGCCAACAUUUACCAGAAUCGACCGAUUCUUCGGAACACCAGAAUGGCAUACCCUCUUUCCAAACUCCGACCUGCAAGCUCUACCGACCAUGGGAUCAGAUCAUUGCCCAUUAUUUUUAACAGGGGACGUGGCACGGCAACACUACACUGGUUUCCGAUUUGAAUCAUUUUGGGUGUCCAUGCCAGGAUUCAUGGAAAUAAUUCAGGGGGUUUGGAAUCAGUCAGUCAACACGCAGGACGCCAUUCUGCGAAUGCAUGUUAAGCUCAUCCGAGCAUCAAAAGCACUUAAGCUAUGGAAAAGGCAAAACCUGGGCAAUCUAGCAUUACGAUUAGCCAUAGCAAAGGAGGCUCUCCUCCUCCUGGACGCCGCACAGGAACAACGACAAUUGACACUAGCGGAGCUUGAAUUCCGUAAAUAUCUAAAGGCAAAAUCAGAUGGACUGGCGGCCAUCCAAAGAGCCAGGGCACGACAACACUCCAGACUGACAUGGAUAAGAAAAGGAGAUGCAUGCACCAGAUUGUUCAUGUUACACGCAAAUAA
Molecule: long non-coding RNA, 73887 nt
Filed under: Setaria viridis
Lineage: Eukaryota; Viridiplantae; Streptophyta; Magnoliopsida; Poales; Poaceae
Description: long non-coding RNA (SVIR_LNC008334)
Source: RNAcentral